This 56289-nucleotide long non-coding RNA is filed under the name Ananas comosus (pineapple). Its description in RNAcentral is "long non-coding RNA (ACOM_LNC014450)". The stretch from base 54627 to 54718 matches the Rfam family "mir-160 microRNA precursor family". The record is from RNAcentral. Lineage: Eukaryota; Viridiplantae; Streptophyta; Magnoliopsida; Poales; Bromeliaceae.
GAAAUUUCUAGUCUUAAUUAACAGAAAAAAAAAAGACAGAAUAAUCUGAAUUUAUUCGCCGUUUCUAAUAACAAAUCACGCUUUCCACAUUAUUCAGCAUUGGAAUCACACUAACAAGAAUAGGCCAACCCCUACUAGAGCAAGAGCACGAGUAAACAUUCAAAAGCACCCAACCACUCACCACUCUCAUAGUGAGAGAACCGCCUCUGGAUGGCGCGUAGGGUUUCGAAAUCGUCCUCCUCGUCCGAAUCCGACUGCGGGAGGAUGCUCAGGGGCUUGACGAAGGGGAGCGACUCCGAGGCCCCCGCCGCGGCGGAGGGCACCGAGAACCGCUCCUGGAGGCGGCGGAGGAGGCCGAGGUCGUCGGAGUCGCUGCUCUCGCCCCCGGAGUCGGAGUCGGAGCCGCCGAGGGCGUCGGCGGGGUCGGCACCGGUGAGCAUGCACGCCCGGCGCAGAGCCUCCAUGUCCUCGUCGAGGGCGUCGUCUCGGUCGCUGUCGGAAGAAGCGUACGACGCCAUGGAGGAGAGGGAACGAGAGAUCGGGUUUAGGGUUAGGGUUUGGUUGUUGCGGGGAGAGAGAGGGAGAGAGAGGGGGGAGUGGCGAGGGCGAGGGAGAGGAGGCUCUCGGGCACAUAAAAGCGCACGAAGAAGCGCCGUGCGAAGGAGAACGAUGCUCCGUGCUCCGUUACGCUUCUCGGUUUAUAUAUAGAGAGCAUAAACGAUCAAAUAAAAAAUAAAUAAAUAAAUAAUUUUCAAUUUUCAAUUUUCAAUUUUUCAAUUUUAAAAUUUAAAAUUUUGACUAUGUUCUCAACAAAAUUAAAUAAAAUCCAAAAUCUGUGUUGAUUUGUCGUUUACGUUAGUUUAAUUUUGCAAAACAAAAAAAAAGGUGAAAAUAUUUAAAAAAACUCACAUAAAGUAUAGAAUAUUUAAAUUUUACUAUAUAAUCGUUCAAAUUUUUGAUUUUAAUGCUUAAUUUUUUAAUUUAUUUGAUUUAGUUUGUUUGAUGACUCUCCAUAUAAUAGUUGCAUUAAUACAAAAAAAAAUAUUAAUUAAAUCUGAAAAAAUAAACUACUGAUUUAAAUUUUAAAGUUAAAAAGCCAAUACUUGACUUAUAUUAAAUAAAUUAAAAUAUUAUAUAGCAAAAUCAAAAAUUUAAAAGCUAGAUAGCCAUGAUACAUCUAACGCACUUUCUCACUGCAUAUAAUAUAAUCUCUUCAUAAGAGAAUUUAACUGUGGGUGUUUAUUUAAAAUAACUGGAAAUAUAAAAAAGGUAUUUUAAUAUUAGCUUUUUAAGAAAAAUAAAUCAAAAAAUCGAAAAUUUUUUAAGGACAUAAGCAAUUGCCCCUAAUUUAAUUUAUCUUAAUAAACAACUACAUAAGAGUCCGCAAAACGAGAAAAAAAGAAAAAAUUUCAAAAACCAUCCUUGUGAUUUUACAUUUUUUUACUUUAAUAUCUUAUGAUUUAAACUGUAUCAAUUUAAUGUCCUGUGCUUUUAUUUUUAUUUUUUUAUUAUCGAUUAUCGGUUAUCGAUUCUACUAAUUUUUUUUCGUUAAAUAAAUAAUAAUAUUAAAAUUAAAAAAUACUAAAGUAAAUAUUCCCUAAAUUUAAAGUAACAUAUCCGAAAAUUUUUGUAUAUUAAUAAAAAAAAUGAUGAAAAGAUAAAAAUAAAAUUACAAAACAUUAAUUUGAUAUAUGCGAAACCACGGGAUGGUAUUUGAAUUUUGAAGUGAACCCAAAAAACAAAAAAUGUAAUUCCCUGUCUCCACGAUCGAACCAAAUCGCCAUGGAAGAGCUUCGUCUCCUCGCUCCCAUUCCUUCUCCUCCAACGACGACGACGAGAGAAGCUGCUUCAUCUACACUUCGUUUCCCUUACCUCUGCGCGAUUACUACUGCGAAUUCAAUCCCUUUUACGUAGCUCGCUCUUCUUCUUCGUGUUCUGAAGCAAAUGCGGUGAGUCGAUCAUGGCGUUUUAUAUAUAUAUUUUUUCGAUCUCUUUGAUUUGUAUGCUUUUUAUAUGAUGUUCAUUUGAUGAUGAUGAUAUCAAUAAUAGCUUCGAUUUGUAGUCGAACGAGCUAUAACAAGGUUUUUAAAAAAAAUGAAAAGAGAGAGAGAGCAUGGAGAUCCCCUCAACUAUAGGGCAUUUAUAAAUAGGACCUUUUAAUUGUUUUGGUUUGAGUUAUUUUCCUUAAUUGAAUUGGUAUUCGAAGGAAUUAAUUGUUCAAUAUCUAUUCAUCAUCAAUAGUUAAUCAAAUUUGCAAUUCCGUUAGCUAAAAGAGUGUUCUAUUUGUUCAAUUUGUCAGGAUCACAGUUUAAUUUCACAAAUUUUUGUAUUUGAGUGAUGCAAAUGGCUUAAAUCUAAAUAAUCCUGUGCAUUUUUUCCUUGUGAGAGAUAAAAUUUCAAUGGUUUGUUCCUUUCCAGGGUUAGAGUCACUUAGGAUUACUGAUAACAUGAUGUUUAAUUCUCUUGCAUAUUUCACACCACAUCCAAAGGUAUUGAUCUUUUUUUGUUUAUCUUUUGUUUUUUUGGAUUGUUAAAUAAGCAUAGAAGAGAUACAAAAUGAAUAUAAUUCUAAGGUUUGAACAAAUUACAAGGUCUAAUGCCAGAGACUUUCAAUAGCUCUUGUUGAAUUCGCUUAUUUGCAAACAGAGAGGCUUCUUCAUUCACCUCCUCUCUAUUUCUUUUCUUUUUUUGGUCAAUCUCAUGCGACAUUGAAGGAAUUGGCCGUGCUCUCGACAAAUUUCCUGGCUCCCUUGAACCAUCUCUUGUCGCCGGCUUGUGCUUUGCAUAUGUAGAGCUUCCCAUCAGAAACCGUUGCUGUGAUGAGCUGGUGCUUCCCGCCCUCGUCCCCGUCGGCCGUCCUUGUCAGGACCGAGAGGAAGUAGUAUUGCUUCCCGCCCACCACCGGGGUCGAGGUUUCUAGUAUGUUCGCUGUUGCUACCGCGUCGGGGUCGAAUCCACCCUAUCGGAAUUCAUUGGUUUAGAUUUACGUAACACGAACGAUGGCGAUAAACAGUUAAUAGAGAUCAGUAAAUUGAUGAUCUUCAAUGUACCUCAGCAUCUGUUUUCCCAGAGUAAGCUUGUUUUCCUAGCAAGUAAUCAACCUGCAUUAGAAGUAGUCAUACUUGUCAAGUUUAUACAAUUUAUGACAAAGAUUUGCAGCCCAAGAAGAUCACUAAUCUUAGCAUUGAGCCUGACUAGUAUAGCAUUGUUAUCAAAACACCGAUCCUAAUACAAUAAUCUUUGGAAUGGUUUGUGGGGGGUUAGUGUGAUUGUUUACUUUUGAGAGGAACUCCUCGGGGGAGCCGUAGUCGGUAAUGGACUUCUUGUCGGUGGGGGUAACCAUGACGGCGACAUUGCUGGUGGUGUCGAAGUUGUCCUCGUACCUCAGCACCUGUCCCGGGUACUCCACCUCCUUGCUCGGGUUCCACUUCGACGGGAUCAACAGCUUGAACCCAUCCCCAUUGUACGGCAAGAAGUCCGUGUUCGUCUUCGGCUUCCCGAAGACGUUUGCUGCGCCCAGAUAAUAUAUGCUCAGUGUUUUUAGAUGGGUAUGAAAAUCAGAAACUUUGUUUGCUCUAGUGUUUUUUCUUUCCUUCGCAUUUCACCUCAAUUUAUCUUCAAGUUAUCUGUAGAAUUGUUUAGUUUACGAGAUAAGGGGAAAAACUGUAAUGAAAAUAAAUGAUGAGACCUUUGAGAAAAAAAAAAACAUUUGCACCUUUUCUUACUCUUUCUUGUUAACUCAGCUCUGUAAAAACAGUUGAUCAUGCAAAUGUAAAGCUUUUAUUCUUUACUUGUUCUUUAUUUUACCUUAAUUGUUCUGUGCAACUUCUUUUGAACAUAUAAUGCUUUAACUAGAGGAUGAUACUGGUUAUGAUCUUUUGGUAUCUGAGAGCUUUCCUUUGUUCUACUUAUAUAUAAUUUGAGAGUGUUAGAUUACUAAGAUUACCAGCUUCUCCGUAGGCUGCAUCGGCCGGCGACACCUUUGUGCCGAGGGCGGCGGAUCCGAGGAGGAUGGUGAGAGCGAGGCGGCGAGAGAUUGCGGCCUCGUUCUCGCCCUCAACCCCCGCCUGCUGCUUCUGAGCUCUGCAGACCAGCUGGGCCGGCCUGGCGCUCUGCCCUGCGCGCUGCAACAGCGCGUGGGCGGCAGACGGCACGUGGUGGUGGAGGAAGCAAGCAGUGGAGGCCAUCUCUCUCUCUGUAACUUCUCUCUGCCUCUCUCUCCUCUUUCUCACUUGCUCUCUAAGUUGGCUUUGAGUCUAAGGGGUUGUAUGGGUUAUUGUUGUGGUAUGUGUUGUUGAUGUGUGGAGGGGGAGUGGAUUUUGUGUGGAUAGUGUGUGGAUGUGGUGAUUGGAUGAUGUUCAGAUUAUUGGAUAGGGUUUGCUGAGAUCUGAUUGGGCCACGUAGGACUGUAAUGUUCUCUCAUCCUCUCUCUAGAAUGAUAUGUUUCUAUGCUGCUGCUACUGCUGUUACCUAGUUUUGUUGCUGCACAUGUAUUAUUCAUUUCAAUAAUAAUUUAACCCUACAUGAAUGAUUAGUUCCACAUGUUGUUUUAUUUUCCUCCCUCAAUUUUUUUGCCUCACUAAUUUUCCAGGGUCAAAUUAAUGGUUACUCACUGUACUAUCAUCUAUGCUUAAAUAUUUUAGUACUUAAAUUGUUGUAGAUAUUGUAUGUUUCUUUCCAAUCAUAAGAAGAAACAUACAAUUCGUCCUUGUUUUCUCAAGAAGCCCAAGUGUUUCAAUUUGGUAGUAAUUAAGAUAUAUUAUGGUAUCAGGAUUGUACAAUUAGUCCUUGUUUUGUUACAAUACAUUCAAUUCACUCACAUUGAAUAGCAUCAUUCAACAAUUGCAUCGUUUAAACAAAAAAGGGGAGGAAAAAAAAAAAAAAAAAAAAACUCAAUUGUGUCCAUUAAGCAUGGAGGAUAAGAGGGAAUGGAGAUGGACAUGAACACCAAGAAAGGAGAAGCUCGGCAACGGCGGAAUCUUCGGCGACGGGAUCGGCGGCAGCGAGAAGUCCGGUAUCUCCACCGACAAGUUCGGCAGCUUCGGAAUGGCCGGAAUAACGGCCGGAAGGUCAGCGCGAAGAUCCGCGGGAAUGGGCGGAAUAUCGGCUGGAAGGUCAGCGGGAAUCAUGUCCGCGAAAGAUGAUACAUUUGCCGCCGCUGCCGCUGCCACCGCUGUCGCAACUGCGUCCGGAGGUAAAUCCGUUAAAAGCCGCGCGGCAUCGCAAGAUUUUACAUCGGAGACGGAGAUCGCCGCAACUAAGAUUGCGAAGAAGAGGCGAUUCAUGGAGAUUAUCCUUAAAAAUUCUAAUGUAUUUCGUGAAGGUAGAGAUGUUUAUGUAUGAAUCUUUUAUUAGAUUACGUAAAUGAAAUGUUUAUAGGGUGCUAAAAUUUGGAAGUUGCAGGAAUAGGUAACUCUCGGUUUGUGGCUAAGAGUGAUUUGAGCUUGGAACGCAAUUAAAUAGUCAACAUUUUUGAAUUGGGUCUCUUUGAUCUUUGGAUAUUGCAUGAUUGCCUUCUCACUGGGUAUUAGUCACAUGAUAGUCCCUGAGAUAAUUUGUAUUUGCAAUUUGCCCCACAUUGUAUCUAAAAUUAAUCAUUCAACUAAUUUCUAGUCUCUGAUGAUUUUUUGACCUACGCGAAUUGAGACACCAAUUAAUGGAUGCUAUGUGUCGCGAUAGAUAUAAUCAAAGCUAAAACUUUUUUUUUAGUUUAGAAAAUAUUGUUUUUUCCUAUUGAAAUUUUUUUUUUACAUUUAAGUACAUGGAAUUCUCCUAUUUUGGCUUAUGCGAUGCAAAUUUUGCAGAGUGCACAAAAAACAGCAGCGAAUUACUGACUCGACAGUCCAUUUAAAAUGUGAAUAUCGAUUUAAGUGAUAAUCAGACAGAUAGACUAAUUGGUAAGUAAGAUGAAUAUACUUUUACGAACAAUGAAUAAAAAUUUUAGGAAAAAUUUCAAAUACCACCCAUAUAGUUUCACACUUUUUUACUUUAGUGCCUUGUGGUUUAAAGUGUAUCCAUUUAGUUCCCCGUGGUUUCAAUUUUAUCUUUUUAUUAUCGAUUUCACUAAUUUUUUUCGUUAAAUUAAUGACAAAGUUAAAACUAAAGGAUAUUAAAGUGAAUAUUCGAUAAACCUAGGUAAAGUAUUUGAAGUUUUUGCAUAUAUUUAAUUAAAUAUUAACGAAGUUACUGACGAAAAGAUAAAAAUGAAACCCCAGGACACUAACUUGACACACAUAAAACCACAAGGUAGUAAAAUAAAAAAGUACGAAACUAGAGGAGCGGUAUCUAAAGUUUAUGCGCACCGAAACCUGAAGAGAAUUUGUAGCACAUGUAAAAUUAAGACCACAUUUUAGCAGUUUUGAGGUGUAUUUGUGAUGUGGUAUACAAGGUAUAGUGAAAAAAUAACCCCUACCAUAGAUUGACAGUUGUAAGCUUAGAGAGAUAAUAAUUGUUAGGAUUGGUGAACUAACAACAAAACACAUCUACCUCUUCUCAUUUUUUUUCUCACCAAAGCAAGCAACUUUAACCCAAUUGAAUCCCAACCACCAAUCUAACCCUAAUCUCCUCCACAUCAACUCCCUUUCCCUCCUCACUAUAUAAACACCAUAUAAUCCCCAUGCAAUGCUAUAUCUCAUCAUCACAAGCCCCAAGUAGUAGUAACCAAUCUCCAACACCUAAAGCUCUAAUCACUUUUGUGAUACUCUCUCCCGCUUCUCGCAUGGCUUUUAAAACAGCUUCUCUGCUCCUCGCGGCUGUGCUUGUUCUCGUCGCGACCUGCACGAGCAACGCAGCCCGCCGGCUCGAAGACGCCACUCCUUCCACGGAGGUGCCACCGAUUCCGAAGGUUGAGGAGCCGCCUAUCCCGAAGGUGGAGGUGCCACCGAUUCCGAAGGUGGAGGUGCCGCCUAUCCCGAAGGUGGAGGUGCCACCGAUUCCGAAGGUGGAGGUGCCGCCUAUCCCGAAGGUCGAGGAGCCUCCGCUCCCGAAGGUCGAGGUGCCGCCGAUCCCGAAGGUCGAGGUGCCGCCGAUCCCGAAGGUCGAGGUGCCGCCGAUCCCGAAGGUCGAGGUGCCACCGAUCCCGAAGGUCGAGAUACCGCCGAUUCCGCACAUUCCGGACAUCCCGAAGGUCGAGUUGCCGCCGAUGCCUGAAAUUCCGACCAUCCCGGAAAUCCCGAAGAUUCCCUUCCCCUUCCACGUCCCGCCUCCGGCCGACGACCAUCCCGCCACCGCAGCAGCACCAUGAGGUGUUACAUAUACAAAGAGAGAAGUGUUGGUGACGAGCCCCGGGUGCUUGUUUCCUGUGCGUGCAUGGUACGUACGUACGUAGAUGAAUAAGAGUUUAAGGAGUCUACUUAUAGUAGAGGGAGAGUCCUUAUAUAUAUAUAUAUAUAUAUAUAUAUAUAUAUAUAUAUAUAUAAUAUAUAUAUGUAUUUGCUUGUGAUUUGCUUUGUUUUAGAUUUGUUGUGUUUGGGAGUUUGGGUUUUACUUUAUUUAUUACAUUGUUGUUUAGAUUUUGGUUUCGUUUAGUGUUCGUUUAUGUAUAUAUACAUGGUCGGAAUAUUACAUUUUAUGAUUUACCAAAUGCAAUAAGUAUUUCUUUAUUAAAUAAUGCGAAAUAAUUUAUCCUGCAUUACUCUCCAAAUACUUAAAUUAUCAGAUAACGGUAUUUUUAAUAUUUAUAUUCAAUACUUCUUUUCACAUCUUAACUCAAAAUUUUUCGAUAGAUCCACCACGUGAACUUAAAUUGAAUUGGUUAAAAUUUUAUACUCUGAUACCAUAUUGAAUUAAAUAAAAUAAUCGUUAUUCUUCAAAAAUUUUAUCUUUAACUAUGAAAUACGAAUGUCCCCGACUGUACCUGUUAUGCAUGCGCCACGCACUUUGUUAGACACUAUUUCUUUGGACGUUUGAUUGGUUGGUGGGGUACAUCAAUUCAUAAAGAUCAUCUAAGAAAUGCUCUUUGUAUUAAAACUAUCUAAUUAAAAAAAUUAAUAUUUCAUUAUUGUUUCGACUUGGCACGAGACAGUGUUGGGCCCAAACAGGUUUGAGCCUUACAAGGACCAAAAACGUAAAUGGGCCCAAUUUGGGCCCAUAAUGGGCCUUGGUCCAUUUCAUUGAAACUCAGAAUCUAUUGAACAAGUAUAUAAAGCUAUUCCAAUUAAUUGCAAAAUGUAAGGGGCCGUUUGGUCGGAUGUAAUUAGAAAUGCAAUACUGUAAUAUACUGUUAGAGAUGCAAUAGUUAUAACUAUAUAUAUCUUAUUUGGUUGGAUGCAGUAGAAGACAUUGCAAUUAUAAAUAAUUUGUUUAAUUGUGUGUAGUUGAAAAGUACAUUUAUAAAAUUUUAUAUGGCCUUCAAUAUAGAAAAAUUAUUAUUUAUUAAAAUGAUUAGAGAGGUAAGUUUACUUUUUAUACUCUAUCCAACUGCAGCAAUUGGAACUACGCCACUGCUGCAGUUGGGCCUCCUCGUGUAGUUCCAACUGCAAUAGUACGGAUUCGAAUGCAUCAAACUAAAUACUGAAUUUAAAUUUACAUAUAGUUAUAAUUGAAGCAUACGUAGUUGUAAUUACAUGUAACCAAACGGCCCAGCUCUAAAAGUUAUUCUGAGUUUAUAAUUCUUCCAGGUACCGUUUGGUUCGGGUAUAAGCAAGAACUAGCUAUUAUAGGAAUAGGUACAAGUAUGGGAAUAAAAAAAAUAAUGUUUGGAUGAAAAUUGGGUUGUUCCGGAGGAUAAGAAUAAUUUUAGGUAGUUUUGUAUAGAAAAUGAAGGUGUUGGUGAGAAUAACCGAGAACUACUAUUCUCGGCUAAAAAAUUAGCGUUUGGAUAUAAAAGGGGAUAAGGGCCUAUUCCUAUCCCUAUCUCCUAACCAAACGCUACCCCAGUUGCUAUGGAUAAGAAGUUACAUGAUAUAUCAUUACCAAUAUAGGAAUAAUUAAUAUAGGUUUUUAAGGCCCUAUUUUUGACUUUUUCCUUUACUUUUUUGACAAGAUAUUUUAGUCAAAGAUACCUGGAUGUGGAAUAAGAUCCUGUUAGAGGAUAAGGUUGAGGAGCUUAUUCUUUUUAUGGGUAAAGGUUAAAUGAAUGAGUUUUGGGACCUUAUAAAGUUGAAGGUAUUAUAGCUAAAAUAAAAUAUGUUGGUUAAAUUACAUUUUUUGCAACUUUUGACUUGAAUUUUUUAGAUUGUUGCAAUGGAGUCUCAUGAUCCAAUUUAAUUAAUGAAAAACUAAUGUGUCGCUAUUAGCAAUAACUAAAAUGUUUAUAUUACUGUAUUUAAUAUAAAUAUCAAAAAUAUUGUUCUUCGACAAUUUAAACUUUUCGAGACAAACGAUUGUUUCACAUUUUCAACAUAGUAUGUUCCUCACUUCAUUUAAUUUAUUCACAUUUAAUCAAGCUUAAAAACUCUUCAGCGCAUAGCUUCAUUUAAUUAUUUCACAUUUAAUAUUCAAGUUUAUUUAUUUAGUCUAUCUAAGAGUCUCGAAGCAAGACAUAUUGAAAAGUUUUGAAUAUAAAAAUAUUAUUUUCUGACAAUAUAAAUUUUUGAAGGCAAAAUAUUAUUUAAUAUUAUUUGACAUAUUAUUAUAUUAGCAACAAAGUAGUAUUUAGUCACUAAAUUGAACUAUAAAACUUAAUUAUAAACAUCAAAAAAGUUUGUCACUUUGGAUGUUUCUCAAUUUUUAGCUUAUUUUUGUCAUUUUCUAGAUAGUAAACUCUAUCCAAAAAGCUUUGUUUUGCAACUCCAAAUCUUUUAUAUAAGGGUUAAUUGCAUACACGUUUCUAUAAAUAUAUUGAAUUGCAAAUAUAUUCUUAUAAAAUGCAACUUUUAUAUUUUGUCUCCGUAAAAAUUCUAAUAUAUUCAAAUAUGCUCCUGCUGUUAGAAUCCGUUAUAAAAUUUUAGUUAAUCAUAGGUUAAAUAUUUAACCUUGAUUAGUUUAUAAAAUAAUUUAAUAUUUUUAUUUUUCUUAUAUUAUACUAUUAUGACUUUUGGAGAGAUAUAUUUAUGAUGACAAAAUUGAAAAUAUAAACAAUUCUCUAAUGGUAACAAAACAGAGAGAUAUAUUUGAAAAUAUUAGAACUUUUGCAUAAACAACAUAUAAAAGUUAACUUUGUAGGAAUAUAUUUGUAAUUCACUAUAUUUGUAGAGGAUUGUAUGCAUCUAAUCCUUUGUUAAAAUACGAAUACUGAGUAUAAUUGGGCACUUUUGUAACACUUUUAUAUAUAAUUUAAAGAACACAAAACCACCGAAAUACCCUACAAUGUAACUGGGCACGUCACAGCUGUAACAUUUAUUUUAUUUUUUUAAUUAUAUACAUAUAUAAGUAACUUAAUAAUUAUUAUUAUUUUACUACAAAGUGUUGUAAGUGUUAACAUCAUGAACUGUAAAUACAGUAUAAAUACAUAUAGAAUGUGAUCCGAUCAUCUUAAUAAAGUUUUGCAAUCCAAUUUAAAAAUUAAAUUUUGAACUUAGUUGAGAUGAUAGUAAGAUAAAAGAUUAGUAAUUUUUUUUUUAGCAUAGAAUAAUUGAAACUGAGGCUACAAUUAAAGGGUUAUUUUUUUGUAAUUUAAUCAUAUAUAAAUAAAAAUGUUUGCUAAUAUAUAAGGACCCAUUUUGUGGGCUAUCUAUCAUAGUUAAGCAUUAUUUUUUGCGCUUUCUAAUAAAACUGUGGAAAUUAUAUCUGAAUAAAAUCAUUACGAUCUACACAAUGCAAUAUAUAUAUAUAUAUAUAUAUAUAUAUAAAAGCACGUAUAUCAAAUUUGGGUCUGUCGACAGACUCAUUUUUCGACGGAAAAAUUUAGCGCCCAUUUUCCUCCUUCUGUACGAAAAAAUUUUAAAAAUAAGAAUAAAAAUAGAAAUAAAAACAGUAAUGAAUACGUAAUUAUAAAUUUUUUAUUUUAAUUUCAAAGUAAGUUUUCUAUAACAGAUUACGGGUGUGACAAUCUAUAAAAGAUAUUUUUUAUUUUAUUUUAAAAUAUCUUUUUUAGAUAUUAUCUAUUUAAUUUCAAAAUAUAUUUUCUUUUUAAGAUAACGGAUUUUAUUUUUCUAUUUAAUUUCAAAAUUUUAUUUCCUAACAUAUUUUAUUUUUCUAUUUAAUUUCAAAAGUAAUUUUUGCAUUAGAGAUUAUUGUUAAUUAUUUAUCAUUUAAAGCAUAUCUUUCUUAAUAGCGUGAUUUAUUAUUUUAAAUUUUUUAGAUACAUAUUUGGCAAUCAUAUAAAAUAUGGCCUAAAAUUAAAAAAUAAUUUAAAAAAAUUAUAACUUUUUCUAAUAAUUAUUACGUGCAUUUGUACGUACAUUUUACUAGUAUAUAUAUAUAUAAUGAAAUGUUGUCCUACCACAUUUUUUAUCAUAUAUAACAUAUUUUUCUAGUAAUCGCAGAUAGAACCUAAGGCUACGCUGAAAAUUAUAAGCAAAUUGAAUUUAUAAGUAAUAUUUUAUUAUGCAUAUUGUAAUGACUUGAUUAAAAUAUAUUUUUUGCUAUUUCAUCAGAAAAAAAAGUAGCGUAUAUUUCUAUAUGUCAAUUAUAAAAAAUUAAUUUAAUUAGCUAAAAAUAUUUUUUAAAAAACUUUUAAAAUUAAAUAUGUCAAUUCUAAAAAUAAAAUAAAAUUUAAAGCAAUUUCAAAAGAAAUGUAGUUGGGGGGUUUUCCAUGCAUAUUUACCAAAUUAAGAAAUAAAAAAAAGGAGAAGAGAAAAUGUGAGCCACAUGGCCUUGUCCCAUUCCUUCACCACUAAAUUUUUCCCCCCUUAAAAAAAAGAAAAAUAAAAAAUAAAUGGGAGGUAAAUGAGAGAAGAGGAUCUUUUUGUGGCCAAAAAUUACUUGGAAAAUAAAUGAAUGGGUGGUGUUAAAAUAUUAUAAAAAUGACUUGGAAAAAAAAAAUGAAUGGAUGGUGUUAAAAUAUUAUAAAAGUGUUAGAAUAUUCUUGCUCUUUUUCUUAAGAGAUAAACUUAGCAAAUUCCCCAAAAAAAUUCUACCACUAUUUAACAAAAUUGAUGAGUCAUAUAUGAUAUUUAUUUAUAUUUAUUUUUAUUGAAGUAUUAAUUAAGAAUAAAAAAAUAUAUGAGUAGUUUGUGAUAUUCUUUUAUCUUCAGAGAAUUAGUUGAAAUUAAUUAUUAGUUGGAUUGAAGUGUUGAAUAUAAAAUAUUUAAAACAUUAUUUUUUUGUAAUUUAGUUUUUUUUUUAUUUAAUUCAAGUUCACGUUUUGGAUCUAUCAAAAAAUUUUGAAUUUAAAUGUGAGAAAGAGUGGUGAAUAUAAAUAUUAAAAAUAUAGUUUUCUGAUGACUUAAGUUUUUAGAGAACAAAAGUCUCUUCAUAAAAUUAGCUAGUUGUAUAAAUUAAAAACGAUGGAUGUAAAAAUUUACACCUAUAAAAUAGGAGUACAAGUUAACAUGUAACAGCUCACAUAUAGCAUCUGCUUCUAACAUCGCUUUUUAUUAAUUCAAUCUUAUUUUUUAGCAUGGUAUCAGAAUAAGAGAUUCAGAAUUUGAGUCAUCGAAAAUUAGUAUUAGUAAUUUUUUUUCUAUUUAAUUCAAGUUCAUAUUUUAAACCUAUCAAAAUAUAUAAAAAACUCUUAUGUUGAUCUUUAACACUAAACUCUAGUGAAUAAUCUUCGAAUUAGAAACUGAUCAUUACUAAUCGACGAGUUGUUUUGAACUUCAGAUUAGAAAUUGUUCAAACAGUGAAUAUAUAUAAAUAAAGCUCCAGCUACGUCAAACAGAUAUGCAUUCAAAUAAACUAGUGUUUCUAAUAUCUUCUACGCCCACAGAAAUAAGGGUGAGACAGAAGCUCCAACCGCAUCAAACAGAUCCGUUCGACAAAACUAGCUUUUUUUCUUUCUUGAGAAAAAUAAAAUUUACAAUACAUUAAUUGCACGCCCACAGAAUCAAAACCAAAGAAUUUGUAUCUCCCAGUACUUCAAGGACAUCCAGUUAUUUUUACUCUUUUUUUUUAAAGAAAAUGGUUUCAAUUUAUUGCAUGCAUACAUGCAUGCAAUUAAUUUAGGAUAAACUUCAAAUAACAUCUCUAUAGUUUCGUGCGUUCUCACUUUGGUACUCUAUACUUUAAAGUGAUUUCAUUACUUUGUGAUUUCUUUUUGUUUUUUUUCGUCAGCCUCUCCGUUAACUUUCGCUAAAUCAUAUAUAAAAUACUUCAGAUACUUCAUUUAUAAUUUAUCGAAUAUUCACUUUAAUACUCUUUAGUUUUAACUUUAUUACUGAUUUAACGAAAAAAAUUAAUAAAGAGGAUAACAAAAAAAGAAAAAUAGAAAUUGGCUCGUUUAACAAUUGAUUGAGUUUAAAUCGGAUCAAAUUUCGAGUUGAGCGUAGUUUUAGCCCUGGUUAAUUGAAUCAAUAAAAUUACUCUCUCUCUCUCUCUCUCUCUAUAUAUAUAUAUAUAAUAAUAAUAAUAAAUUUGAAAGAAUUAUAAUUUUUUAUAUAAAUUUGAUAAUGAAUAAUAAUUUUUUCUAUUGUCCGAUGCAAACACAUGCUUUCAUUCUAUAACUACUCGAUACUUACAAAAAUUUUGUUAAAUUAUAGAAAAAUUAUAAUAUAAAAUUUAGUGCGGGCACUGUAAAUAUUCAUUAAUAUUGAUAUCAAUAUUACAAUUAAUAAAUAUUUUAAAAAACAAAAAUUAAGUUAAAAUAAAUAACAAAAUUAAAUAUAUUUUAAAGUAGAAAAUAGGUGAAUAUUAGAGUAUAACGAUACAAUUAACUAUAUUUAUUUAUAUUAUGUUUUUAAAGCUAAAAAAUGAAACAUAAAAAAAAUAAAAUAAAUAAAAUAGUGAACACGACGAGACCCUUCCCAAAUUGGGAAGCGGCGUAAGUCAAAAUUUAUGCGGUCAUUGGAAUCGGCAACGCUGACGAAAAUUACGGCUGCAUCAAAUUUCGCGCUCAACUCCUCUCCGGGAAAAAAAAAAAUGUUCUAUGCGGACGUACCUUCAUAAGCCAAUAUGCGGGGGGAAUUAAAAAUUUCGGUUUUAAAUAUCUUAUUAUAUUUCUAAUCUGUUUUUAUUAAAUAAAUCUUUUAAGUAACACAAAAUUAGAGCCCGCUCUAAGCUCUCUCUCAAUUGAAAGAGAUCGUAUAAGUUCAUUUUCUAUAAUCAUUCACUUAUCCACAUAAUAUUAUUACAUAAGAAAAAAGUUAUUAAAAAUUUAUAUUUAGAUUCUAAGCUUAAUUUCUUGUUAAAUUUUAGAUUUUGCUGAUGCGUUUGGUGAGUAAAUUACGAUGCAUUCAUGUACAUAAUUUGGAGGGGUUUAGAUCCAUUCUCUGAAAUAAGUACGAAAUCAAACAAAAUAUAUAUAAACUGGUUUAAUUCGUCGGAUUUUAAAGAUUGGUUUGACAAAGAUAUCUAAUUACUCAUCGUAGUCGCAUUUAUAAAGAACUUUAUAUAACUCUUUUUUGGAAAAUAUAUAUAUUACUUACACAGCUACAUUUGAUGCUAUAUAUAUAUAUAUAUAUAUAUAUAUAUAGAGAGAGAGAGAGAGAGAGAGAGAGAGAGAGUGUGUGUGAGACUAUUAUGCUAUCGGAAGCACGGAGCAUUCCGUGCUUCUAGCUUGUUUUCGAUGUUGCGACUUUCGAAUAGUCGAUCGGCUCCAUUAAACUUGAUCUAGAGUAUUUGGAGUACCUAGAAAAUAAAUUUUAUAAUUUUACGAUAUCAUUUGCCUAGUGAACGAAAGGGCUCAAAAUCAACGGCUGAAAAUAAAAAUCUUACAAAAUGUAAUAAUAUGACAUUAAAAUUUUAAUCAAAGAUAUUGAUCUUGUUUUAUAUAGUAUAAAAAAUUUUCUAUUAAAAUUUCACAUGAUUUGGAUAUUUCUACACCGUUAAACUUGCAAACGGCUCACUACGGCCAUUGAAAUUUGUUGAUUUUGAGCCCAUUCGAUCACUAGGCAAAUGAUUAUUGAAAUAUAUUAAUAAUAGUUAUUCUUGUAGUACUCCAAAUAUUCUAAAUCAAGUUUAAAGAAGCGCGAUCGACGAUUCGAAAGUCGCAAAUCAAAACGACUGGAAGCACGGAAGGCUCUGUGCUUCACGAUUGCUCAUAGUGCCUCAUCUAUAAUAUAAUAUAUACUAUAUAUUAGAGUAGGGCUAUGUAAUUAUUGUAAGUAUUCAUGGGUGAUACUGUGUGUUUUUAGCUUUGGAUGGAGAGUAUUGGUGGGUUGAGAGGAUGGUUGAUUAGGUGGUGGUUAGUGAAUGAGUAUUUAAUCCAAGGGCUAUUAAUAAUCAAAAGUAGUCAAAUGGCUUAAAACCUUAUAGCACUGAUGAUGAUAUUGUAAAGUUUAUAGUCAACUCGUAUAUAUAAUAUAUUAGGAUAUAUAUAUAUAUAUAUAUAUAUAUAUAUAUAUAUAUAUAUGCCUUAGUAAAACUUUCGUAUUAUUUUUGUCUAUGCUUAUUUAUUACAAAUAUGGUUAUAAAUUUUGUAUGUCUGCGUCAGACUCUUGUUCGUCGUGGACACGUUAUGAAUGCGCGUUUGUCCGCAUCCACAUUUCGACCCAUUAAACAAUUAAAAAAUCUAUUAUACUUUUUUUACUUAUAUAUUAUAUGAGAUGAUAAAAGUUUUGUUUCUUCUAUGAAUAUAUAUAAAUUUAUUUUGGACGAUAUAUAUAAAAAAAAAUUAUGCAUGGUGAAACUUAUUUUUUCUUUAAAUAUAUGAGCUAUCAAUAAAAAUUUUAUUCACACUUAAUCAUAUUAAAAUUAUAACAAUAUUUCAAUAAUAUAUAUAUAUUUAUAUUAAUAAUAUUAUAUUUUAUUAUAAGUGUUCAUCCGUAUUCGUAUUUAUGUCUGUGUGUGCGAGGAAAAAUUCUAGAAUGUAACGGGUAUAUUAGUGACGUGGCGUAACAAACCAAUCAAAUUAAUCCUUUUAAGAAUAUAUGUCCCAUCAUAAUUGUAAAAAAAUAUUUUUAUUGUACUUUUAUUUAAAAAGAAGGAAUGUGAUUGGCUUGUUAUUGAUGACGUGGUGCAAGUGUGACAGUGUAGAAUUCCUCGUGUGCGAGACUCCUAUAUAUGUGUUUCCUAAUAUUAUUGUAUAUGAAAAUAAAACAGAUAUUAAUUUUUUAAUAUUUUUUAAUGUUUUAAUUUUAUAUAAUAUAAUCUCCUUACUUGAGCUACACAUGAAAGUGUAAUGCGAGUGCCCGCACAGUACUAUUCCAGUACUAAUAUCACGUCCUAUUCUCAAUCCGAAUCCGUCCGCAUAAAAGUAAAAAAAAAAAAAAAAUUAAAAAACGAAAUACUAAACACUAAAUACGGAACCAAUGAGGGGCCUAUGUAUAAAUAUAUAUUUGUUGUGUAAUUAUAAACUCUCCGGUGUUGAAGCUAUGGAGUGGAACAAAUGUAAGAAGAGUUGAAGCUAAGCUCUCUUGCAAAAAGGUCAUCUUUUUUGUACCCAUUAUUAUUUUUAUUUAUCUCCUAUUCCUUUUUUUUUUCUUUCUUUUUUUUUCUUUUUUUUUGUUUAUAUGGAUUUCACCACUUUUGGCUUCAUGAAAAAGCUGCAAUUUUUUGCUCAUCUGAGUAGCUAAUUUUUUUGUGCUUUAAACUUGUCAUAAUUCAUCAUUCAUUUUAAUAAAUGGGUCCUUUUUUAUUUUAUGUUUACAGGUGUGUAUUUUCACUAUUUUGAUUUGUUUUAAACUAUACAAAAAGUUCAUUUCCUUUCCCUUUACUGCAUGAUUUUUCCUCUUUUUGCAUUAAAAAAAAACACUUCCUCUUUUGUGCUGUAUCUUUUUGAUCUUUACAUCUAUGAUCCAUCUCCAAUAUUCAUUGUAGAAUCCUUAUUAAUUUUUUUUUUUUUUUGUUUCCCCUUCAAAUUCCACUUAUUAUUGUGCAUUUUAUGCCUUGGCCAUGUUACAUAUAUGAUCCAUGUUCUAAUAAUGUUCAACUAUAUUGUGCAUGCAUGUAACUACACAACUUGCUAAUGUGUUAUGUAUUAUAUAUAUGAUCUCCUAAUAAGAUCAAUUCAUUUGCUUUUCAAUAGUUGCAGUGUUGUGUGAAGUAGAUCUCAAUAAGCAGAUCAAAUGAACCAAUUUGUUCCGAAUUGGAACAUGGACGACGAAUCGCGAUCUCUUCGAGAUCUCGUCGCCGCGCCGGAUCGAAAGGAACCUAUUGGGUCAGUCCCUUGUCGCGAAAAUUUUCUCCGAUUUUAGCUCAAUUUUAAGUUUUACUAGUCUCAACAUUUGUUUUCAUGUUCUGAUGAUGAUGAUGCAGAGCAGACAAUGAGCUCAUAGAACUGCUGUGGCAGAAUGGGCAUGUUGUCAUGCAGAGCCAAACUCAUCGAAAACCCCCGGCCUUAGCCCCCGAAUUCAAGCAAUUGCGUAAGCACGAUGAACCGAUGCUGAAAUCAGCGGCGACCGUUGCGGCCACGAGCAGUCUUACUCGAGACGAGACCGCGUCGUGGUUCCAAUACCCGCUCGAGGAUUCGAUCGACAGGGAUUUCUACUCUGAGUUCUUUUUCGACAUGCCGAACGCCGACGAAGGGCGACCGGGCGCGGAGAAUGAUGCGGUUGACUUCUCGCACUUUGCGAAACAAUGGAAGGGUGGUGAUGCAGGGGCGUCGAAUCCGUUACCGGGGGAGAAGAGGGUGGAGAGUGGGGGUUUGGGAGUGGCGGGAGCGUCGUCGUCGUCGAUGAUGACGGUCGCGUCAAGCAUUUGCGUGAGCAACCAAAUUCAAGUGGCUGCUAAGUUGAGGCAGAUUGCGAGCGGCGACGCCGGAGCUUCCGCUUCGAGAAGAAGCUCGAAAGAAGAAGCUCACACUAGAUUGGCUUCGCAAGAAGCCGCUGUGGCUUCGUCGUCGGGCCGUUCCGGUUGUAGUUUCGGUUUCGGACGAACGGAACAACACAACAACAAGAGAAAGGAAAGAGGAAUGGAGGAAUUCGAAAGCCUCAGCGAGGUAAAGUAGAAGCUCUAUUUUGGAGUCUUGAUUUGUAGUAAUUUCUCAUCUUUCAAAACGGUGCUUGAAAUUAUGUAGGACGCGGAGAAUGAAUCCGUCGAGGCGAAUAACCAGGCUCAGCGGUCUACAUCUACGCGCAGAAGCCGUGCUGCUGAAGUUCACAACCUGUCAGAGAGGGUGAGAAUUGUCAAAGAUCCUUUUUUUUUUUUCGUUCUUUUUUUUAACUUAGUUGCAGCUCAUAGUCUUAUUAUAUCUUUUAUUCGAUAGAGAAGAAGAGAUAGAAUUAAUGAGAAAAUGAGAGCACUGCAAGAGCUCAUACCUCACUGCAACAAGGUAAGAUGUCUUUGUUGCGGCAAUUUCGUAUCAUACACAAAGUUUCAAGUUUUUAGUCAAUUCGGAGAGUUUGGUGUUUAAGCAAUCUUAUACAUGGUUACAGCAAAAUAAUUGUGUGCAACUGCACAUAGGGAAAAAAAAAAAAAAUACAAAUUUCAAUAUGCUAGUGCUGAUAAUUUCAGAGUGACAAAGCAUCUAUAUUAGAUGAGGCGAUCGAGUACUUGAAGUCGCUUCAACUGCAAGUUCAGGUCAGAAACAAUUUUCUAUUUUCUUUCGUUCUUACUUCGAAUCAUCGAUUUGCUUAGAGAAAGAGAAAAAAAAAAUUGUUCUUACAUGUCUCGCAGUUUCUGUGGAUGGGAACUGGUAUGGGGCCGAUGAUGUUUCGCGGGUUCCACCAAUACAUGUCGCGCGUGGGUCCUGCCUCCAUCCCUUCGCUGCAUAGUCCGGUUCCGAUGUCGAGAGCGCCAUUCAUGAAUAAUCAGUUUAUGGCCUCAACUUCUACAGCAAACGCGGCAAAUUUCUCCAACCAAAUGCCGAAUGUACCUCUCGGAGCUGGUUUACUUGGUCUUAAUCAUCUUCCGCUACAAUCUCAGGUUCGUCGCUCUUGUACGAAUUUACAUUCUGUUUUUUAUAUGUUGUUCUUUUUUCCUAUUUUUUCUAAAAGAUUUUCACAUGAAUUUUUUUUUUGCAGGCGAUGAAUUGUGAUGCAUACGGACCUAAAACAGCGCAGCAGCAUCAGAGUUCAGUGGAGCCAAUUUCCGGAGCUUCUCCCUCCGAAAGUACUCCGAAGGACAAAGCUGGUAAGACAUAGUCGAGUAAAUUAUCGAUGCUUUUCGCCUGCUAUAUAUUCAGUGAGAUUUAAUUUUUCAUAGACGGUAUCGCUGCCGAGUUCUUACUAUCGGUAACAAUUAAGUCCUUCUGUUACAUAUUCUGCCAUCUGAAAUAGACGCCGCGUCAGCAUUGAGGGUGGGUUGUUCGCAUUUAAUUUGAUGGUCGGAGGUGAAUUGAUUAUGUUACGCGUAGUACGUGGAAGUAUCGAUGUAAUUUCAUAGAGUCAUUCGGUCUGAGAUUGGCCCUCGCAGCAACGAAUUUUAGGUACGACGCUGAGGUCGCAUCUGUUUUAGAUGGUAGCCUAAUGGAAGCAAAUUUUUAGGGCUAAAGCGGGGUCGAAACCCCUCGGAGAACAUAAAAGAAAUUGGGAUCAAAGUCUGAGGCAGAUAAGAACAAACUGUUGCGCGAAUAUAUUGGCAUCAGCCAAUUUGGGCCUCUGAUGGGUCCAUUUGUUCGUAUCCGGCGGCGUUGUCGUCGACAGCAAUCAAUUUCAUUUUGCCACCAUUUACUUCUUUCCAAUUUGUGGCCUUUAUAUUCUUCACGAAUUCGUAUGAAUAAGGGAAGCAGAGGAGUUAGCAUCAGAGCUUUCGAAAUCCAAACUUUAAGCAUCUCUUUUCUCGAUGUCGACAGGUUAGCAGAUAACGGUUCAUACUUGGAGGAAAUUUCGCGCAAUCGGACCCACUGCAGCUGUAACAUGACUGCUUCUUGCUGCUCGUUUUUGCGGACGAGACAUUCGGAUUGGCGGCCGAAAUAAGUAUCUAAUUGUUAGUUAGAACUCAUUUUUCUUUUUUUUUAUGUGAAGAGAUAAAAUGGCGAAAAAUGAUCAUCUUUCCUUGCCCAGAAACUUUCUGAUGCAUUAAUUUAUUGAUAUUUCUUAUAAGAGUUUAAAAUUUUUCCCCCCUUUUUUAUUGCUAGGGAUAAAUAUCUAACAAGUGUAAAUUUUCAUUUGGUAAUUACUGAGAUCAGCAAAUUUGGAAUAUUGUAAUUGUGUUGUAGUAUUUUGUUUUUUAUUUUUUUCUUUUUAAUCAUCAGCAGUGUUCGAAAAGACCUGACCUUCGUGGUGAUGAUGCCCGAGUAAAAAAUUGAAACUACCCAUCAAUAUAUAUAUAUAUAUAUAUAUUUUAAUUUCUUUUGGAAUUAUUACCCAUUAAUAUUUCUCAAGUGCUAUUUAACUGUGAAUUAAUAAAUAAAUAAAUAAAUAUCCAUUGUUACUAGAUUGAAAAGCUUUUAAAAGAUGCAAACAAUAUCCACUUAAUUUGCUGUUGAAGUAUUACAACACUCACCACAGUUUGGUUUCUAAAUUUUGAGAGCUUUUGGUGUCAGUUGUUGAGAAACCAAGAAUCCAAAGGACAAAACACAAAAGGGAAAUGAAAUAAGCUCAUGAUUGUGUGUCUCAUAUGCCAUUUUUGGAUCAUUAAAUGCCCACAUGUACUGCUUACACAGGAGCUGAGAUUUUGCCACCACUCUCCAACCUCAACUUUCCUUUUGGGGAAAGGUUAAGGGCACUGCAGAUGAACCUGAUUUAUUAAAAUAUCUCUGAUAUGCUAAUAAUGGCUCAGUAGUGCAGCAGCUUGUUGGGUCAGUGAUGUGAGAUUACUGGGCCCAUUCAGGCUCUGUGUGUGUCUUAAGCUACUGUAGCAGAAUCUUGUUGCAACUUGCUUGUUGAGAGAGAGAGAGAGAGAGAGAGAGAGAGAGAGAGAGAAUUCAAAUAUAGGAAUCUUGCAUAGUCCCUCUGGUAACCUGAUAUUGUGACUUAAUCCAUGAACUUUUACUAAGAACACUUUAGUUUCGAAAUUUUCCGAGUUUACUGUGUAUUCGUCCGAUACUUAUUUCUUAGUGUGGAAGGCUCGUUCCUUUACACUGAGCUCAUGGAUGAAGUUCGGGGUCUUUGGAAAAGGGCUAUCAGUCUAGCUGAUGCAGGAAAGAGAAUUAAAGGCCUAACUUUCUUGGCGGCUGUUUGGUGGAUGAUCUGGACUGAAAGGAACAAUUUUAUCUUCUGUGAUAAAUCGCCGAUCCCUCCGGUCUCGCUGAACCAUCUCAAACGCUUGCUUUACGAGUGGACCGAGCCCUCAGCUGUUCACUGAACCUUCCCUCAGCAUGUUCCUCCCUCGCCUCCACCGUUGUUUCUUAGUUUUCUUCUUACUUUUGGUUUCUUUUUCCUUUCUAUCUUUUUUCGAAAGCCCCAAUUGCUUUCACCAUGUAUACUUUAGUUCAUUUUGCCUAAUGAAUGAAGCAGAUAGCUCGCUACCUUUUUUCAAAAAAAAAUUACUUUUAGUUUCGAAAUUUUUUGAGUUUUUCUUGUAUAAUGACCACGAUAAAAUUUGAAAAGUACUUGUACGAGAAGCUCCUCAUUCAACCUGAUCAGGCUCUCUCUGAAUCCAUCGUCCAAAAGCGGAGUUGAGAUUUGGACCGAGAACUUCUAAAUUAGAACAGACCUUUAAGAUUCUCCUACGAGGUGAAUUAUACGCACGGGCGCGGCUCAGCAAACUGUCUCAAUGAGAACUCGUUAAGAAGCUUCUCAAUAAAGAUGAGCUAUAAUAAUUCUUCACUUCAGAAGUAAUUUUUUUUUUUUUUUCCCGUAUACUCAAAACAAGGCCAGAAAGUAGAAGGAAGAUAAUAGUAGAUAUUCAUGUCACUAUUGUGGGCACAGUGAAAGUAGCAUUAUGCCUACAAGGAAUUGACAAGGAAAAGAUAUUCUCGAAACGAACUUUAUCUGAUCAGGACAUAUAGUAAUUUUGUGGACUAUGGUGGAGUUCUAUCAUUUUCGGUACUUGAUUAGUCCUUAAAUCAACUAGCCAAAGAGUUUUAAAAUUUUUAAGUGAAAAAUUUAGAGACCAAGUUGCAGUAUCAGAAUAGUAGAGGGACCAUCCACAAACUUCACCCAAAGAAGAGAAUUUUGUGAGGGCCCCUUUGAAGCAGCCAACUGGAGGGAUGGUGAGCAGAAAGAAGAGGGUCUUGCAGGAUUCAGCCAUGUUAUGUGGGGGCAGCAGACAGCUCCUCCCCCCCUUGUUUUCUUUCUACUAUUCUUUGAUGUUAACAGCAUAGAAAAGACUACUGUCAGUGGGUGUGGGCCCUUUGGUAACAUGGCCACUGAUCAUGUAUCAUAUUUUUUAAAGAAAAACUUUUAAGUAUCACCCAUGUGGUUUCGUACUUUCUUAUUUUAGUAUCCUAUGGUUUAAAAUGUAUCAAGUUAAUGUUCUGUAAUUUUAUUUUUAUCUUUUCGUCAGCUUUUUCGUUAAUAUUUCGUUAAGUUAUGUACAAAAAACUUCAAAUACCCUAUCUAAAUUUAUCGAAUAUUCACUUUAAUAUCCUUUAGUUUUAACUUUAUCACUCAUUUAACAAAAAAAAAUUAGUGAAAUUAAUAAUAAAAAGAUAAAAAUAAAACCGCAUGGCACUGAAUUAAUACACUUUAAACUAUAGGGUACUAAAGUCAGAAAAUGUGAAACCAUUGAAGUGGUAUUUGAAGUUUUUUCUAUCUUUUACGACGAUCUCUCUCUCUCUCUCUCUCUAAAGUCAGAAAGUGUGAAAUCAUUGAAGUGGUAUUUGAAGUUUUUUCUAUCUUUUACGACUCUCUCUCUCUCUCUCUCUCUCUCUCUCUCUCUCUCUCACACACACACACACACACACACACACACACACACACAACUUGGAUUAGAUUUUUCUAUGAGUUCUGUUGUAAGUAUCUGACAAUGCUCUCUCUUGCUGUAUGCAUCUGUUGACAUGCAUGUUAUGCACAGAUUGUCUUGUCUAGAUCAUAUGAUAGCUAAGACUGUGUGCAUUAAUCCAUCAAAACUCUCCACAUUAAGAAUGAUGUUAACACUAUUCUUAUGUUGUUUGCUGCUAGAUUUGUUUUUUUUUCUUCUUCCACGUAGCAUUAAAGUCAAUUAUAAAUCCCUUCAAUUCUACAACAUUACGAAUUUAAAUCCCCACCUGUUUAUUUAAUGAGUUAAAAUUCUAAACAAAAAUUUAAUCGUGUGUUAAUAAGUAGUUUAUGCAUAUACUAAGUAUCUGAUCAAUAUAUGAGGAGAUUCUGGGGAACUCGCAAUAGCGGCUUUUUUUUUUUCCCUUCUUCUAUUCCUCUUCACCAUCCAACCAAAGCAAGUGAUUAAUCAUUCUAACCACAUUGUUUAUCAUUUGCUAAUCAUUUACUUUGUGCACAUAAGACUGAAACUAACUUCCACAAACAAAAGUUAUGCUCCACAUCAUUAGGGCUAUAUAUAUAGCUACAUAAAAAAAGAAAAACUUCAAAUACUCCCCCUGUGGUUUCGUACGUCCUCACUUUAGUACCAUGUGGUUUAAAGUGUAUCAAGUUAAUACCUUGUGGUUUCGCACUUUCUCACUUUAAUACCAUGUGGUUUAAUAUUUCGUUAAAUUAUAUACAAAAAACUUCAGAUACCCUACAUAGAUUUAUCGAAUAUUCAUUUUAGUUCCCUUUAGUUUUAGCUUUGUCACUGAUUUAAAAAAAAAAUUUCUAAAAUGGAUAAUAAAAAAAGAAAAAUGAAACCCCAUGAUACUAACUUGAUACAAAAAUAAAAUCACAGAGUACUAACUUGAUACACUUUAAACCACAGGCACUAAAGUGAGAAAGUGCGAAAUUACAAGAUCCUAAGAUUCCUAACUUGAUAUACUUUGAAAUGAGAAAGUGUGAAUCCACAGGGGUAUUUGAAGUUUUCCCAAAAAAAAAAAAAAAAAACCCAUAACUUUAUUUGCUCAAUCUAAUUAAUGAUAGAUUAAUUUUGUGGGACAUGUAUUAUUUUAUAUUAUUAACCAAGUACCAUACUGUGUUGUUGUUGGGGUCCCUUUCAGUCAACACCUCAGAUCAAGAAGGAAUUGAAUCCAAUAAUGCCCACAUUUAUUAAAGCAAAGGAUAAGUACAAGCAUCCAAGUGCAUGCAUCUUUUAUUGCAUUUUGGUCUACACAAUGUUCUCAAUUGGACCACAUUUCUUAUCAGGGUUCUUAACUAUCACCUUUGAUUGUAUAAUAAUAAGUGACAUUAUUAUUAAUAUUAUCAAGUGUAUCAUGUAAUUUGAUGAAGAAAUGUCAUGUCCAUUAUUUCAUGAAGAUUUGUUAAUAAGUGGUUAUGGGCUAUUUUUAAGAUGAAACACUUUGGUGGUAACUUAGAAGUGAAGUCCCGUUUAUACUAAACUAUAAUUUUAUUUUAUGACUCUAUAGUUUAGAUCUUAUUACUCAGAAGCCUAUUAGAAUUUGUCAAUAAAACGAGACAUACUUGUCAAUGACAAAUUAUUUGUUGUACUUCAGCAAUCAAUUCUUAGAUCUGAGGUACUGUCACGAUUAUCUAAUAUAUGAGUUGCUACAGUUUGAUUAUAGUAGAUUAUGCACAUCGAGAUGUAGUGCAUGAUUUGGAAUCUACUAUUAUGGACUUAAAAAUCAAUUUAAUAAAUUAAACACUGCCCCACAAAAGGUGUCACCUCUUAACUAAACCAAUGACUCAAACACCUUACAUGUUUAAAUUCAUCUUAAUUAAUUAACAUGGUAUCAAUGUCCCAAAAAGGGGCUGCAACUCUAUGCAACCUCCACCAAAUAGUAAAUAGGUUUUGAGUAGGUAAAAAUUUUCCAUAUUUGGCAUAUAAUUGAUAAUGUUGCAUAAGCCCCACUAGCACAUGGCUAUGAUGUGCUCAACAACAUGACAAAUAUGGAAUUAAAAAACAAAAAGGUUGUAAUAGAAUCAAGUGUGGGUAGUCAUUAGUCACAAUAUAUAAAUGUUUCUUUUUUAAAAAACUUUUAACUUUUGGUUUAUAUAUAUAUAUAUAGAUCUCCUCCUUGCUAUAGAAUGGUCAUAUAAUUUAUUGCACACCAAUCAUAUAUAUACCUCAUACAAUAUAAAAUAUUUUUAAUAAUAAAAUAAGAAAAGAUUAAAAGUGCUUCAGAGUUUCUGAGUUGUUCACAUUAUAAAAAUGACGAUUUUAGCUACCAUAUUACCAAACAAGAUCUAAGUCUUUUAACUCUUGUUGACCUCUAUAAGCUAAAAGGUUAUAAUAUUCUUUAUUAAAAUAAAAAAUACUUUAAUAAUAUUUGAUUAAUAAAAAUAAAGGAAGAGAGAGAGAGAGAGAGUCAAAGCAUGCACCCUGAAAAUCCUGUGUAACAAGAGAUUUAGAAAUUUCUAAAAUGUAUAUUAUGAGGAUUCAUUAGAUUUGGUUUAUUAAUUAACCUACAAAUUCUCUCUUGUAUAAGUGUGACUAAAAAUUUAGAAAUUUCCAAAAUGUAUAUUAUGCGGAUUCAUUAGAUUUGCUUCAUUCAUUAACCAACAAAUUCUCUCUUGUACUAUAUACAUAGUUUUUAUUAAAAAGAUCAGGAAAAAUAAAUUAAAGAAAAUCUAAAAAAGUAAAUUUCAAAAAUUAUUUUUAUUAAAAAGAUCAGGAAAAAUAAAUUAAAAAAUUUCUUGUGGCGUCGCCCGGGUUCGAACCGGAGACCUUCAGUGUGUUAGACUGACGUGAUAACCAACUACACCACGACACCUUCACAUUUAUGUUUUUUCAUUUAAUAUAAAUAAUAAAUACUUAGGAGUAAGAAAUAAUCUUAUUAUCAGUUAUCAUUAGUGAUUGGGAAGCUUAUAAGGGCAAGCAUAGCUGAAGCAAACUGGUGAUCUAAACCAGCCAUUGAUCGCUGGUUCAGAUUGAUUUUAAGUUUCAUAUACUGUAGAUUCAGUCGUGAUUUAGCCAUUCUAGUGAAAAAAAAUUAAAAAAAAAGUUAGAGGAUAAGUUGUGAGUUACUGCCGUAUGCGAAGUCAUUGCUCCAUGAGACAGAAACAUAUGCAUAGGCUCCCAUGGAAGUCCAAAAUUUUCAUUAUUAUCAAACAUCUGCGAACUUCAGUUACACAAACUCCUCACUUCAACCCCGGACUUCCAUGUAAACAAACAUGCCCACUCCUAAACCACCCAAACAAUCAUAACCUUUUUUUUUUUAAAUUUUUGUUUUCUUUUUCCCACUUUUUGAGACUCAAGAAUUUGACUCCCUACUUGCCACUCAAAUCCCCACCCAGACUCCUUACUAUUGCUUUUUGUCGAAUUCAAAUACAUUUUAGAAUCAAAAGAUUACAUGAAAUUCUUUGGACUAAGUUAAAAUAAUAGUUUUUAUAAAUAAAAAAUUAAACUUGAACAACAAAGGGGUGGUGGCGCAGUUGGCUAGCGCGUAGGUCUCAUAGCUUGGUUUGAGGUAUCCUGAGGUCGAGAGUUCGAGCCUCUCUCACCCCAUUCAAAAAUAUUGAAAAAUAUUCGAGCCGUGAUGAUCAUUUGUGUGUGAUCUGUGAAAGGGUGGGUCCUUCACAACCGUCCGAUUAUCAGACGAAAUCUACACAUCUGAGCUCGAAUAUAUUUUUUAUUUUUUUGGAAAAAUAAAAAAAAACUGCAGAAGUUGUUACGGCAGAGUUAUUAAAAUUGAAACCACAAAAAAAUUAGGAUUAAUUUUAUACAGGUCUCUAUAAAUAUAAUAAAUGGCAAAUAUAUUUUAUGAAGUUCAACUUUCAUAUGUUAUCCCUGUAAAAGUUCUGAUGUUAUCAAAUAUGUCCCCACCGUUAAAAUCCGUUAGAAAAAUUUAAUUAACCAUAGAUUAAAUACUUAAAACCUUGGUUAGCUUUUGAUAUUGUUAUCCUCUUAUAUGGUUAGAGUUACUAUACUCUCAUGAGUAUAGAACUCUUUGUACUCAUAAGUUUUCGAUCGUUGGAUGAAGAAAUGUACGGUUAGGAUGAUAGUGGUCCCCGAUUAGUUUAAUAGUGGUCUAUUAGGGUUAAGUGGGUGGUUAGGUGAAUAAUAUGAUAGUGAGCUCGAAUAUAAUUUUUUUUUUUGAAAAAAUAAAAAAAACUGCAGAAGUAGCAGUACGGCAGAGUUAUUAAAAUUGAAACCACACAAAAAUUAGGAUUAGUUUUAUACAGGUCUCUAUAAAUAUAACAAAUGGCAAAUAUAUAUGUUAUCCCUGUAAAAGUCCUAAUGUCAUCAAAUAUGUCCCCACCGUUAAAAUCCGUUAGAAAAAUUUAAUUAACCAUAGAUUAAAUACUUAAAACCUUGGUUAGCUUUUGAUAUUGUUAUCCUCUUAUAUGGUUAGAGUUACUAUACUCUCAUGAGUAUAGAACUCUUUGUACUCAUAAGUUUUCGAUCGUUGGAUGAAGAAAUGUACGGUUAGGAUGAUAGUGGUCCCCGAUUAGUUUAAUAGUGGUCUAUUAGGGUUAAGUGGGUGGUUAGGUGAAUAAUAUGAUAGUGAGCUCGAAUAUAAUUUUUUUUUUUGAAAAAAUAAAAAAAACUGCAGAAGUAGCAGUACGGCAGAGUUAUUAAAAUUGAAACCACACAAAAAUUAGGAUUAGUUUUAUACAGGUCUCUAUAAAUAUAACAAAUGGCAAAUAUAUAUGUUAUCCCUGUAAAAGUCCUAAUGUCAUCAAAUAUGUCCCCACCAUUAAAAUCCGUUAGAAAAAUUUAAUUAACCAUAGAUUAAAUACUUAAAACCUUGGUUAGCUUUUGAUAUUGUUAUCCUCUUAUAUGGUUAGAGUUAGUAUACUCUUGUGAGUAUAGAACUCUUUGCACUUAUAAGUUUUCGACCGUUGGAUGGAAAAAUGUGCGGCUAAGAUGAUAGUGAUCCCCGAUUAGUUUAAUAGUGGUCCAUUAAGGUUAAGUGGGUGGUUGGUUGAAUAGUAUGAUCUAACGGACGGAAAUGGUCAAAAGAGUAGAUCUAACGACAGAAAACUUAUGAGUAUAAAGAUGCCUAUAUUUAUAAGAGUAUAGUAGUCGGACGCAAUAUUAUACUGUUAUGGCUUUUGAAGAGACAUUUGUGAUGACACAAUUAAAAAUAUAAACAAUUCUCUAACGGUUCUUUAACGAUAACAAAUUAGAGGAACAUAUUUAAAAACAUCUGAACUUUUGCAGGGGCAACAUAUGAGAGCGCUUUUGGUUUGAGUUAUCUAAUUUUAGAGAGUAUUUCGAUAUAUCCAGAUAUCUUGAAUUUCUAAAAGAGAUUACUACUAAUGCUGCAUUAGCGCGUUUAGUUUAAUGCAAUAAUAUAAUAAUUAAAUUGCAAUAUUUAUAUCAUUACAAUAUUUGGUUCAGUCAUUAAAAUUCAGUAAUCUUGAAUUCUCAUUAAAAUCUUAUCUAAUAUGAAAUAACNCAUUAAAAUUCAGUAAUCUUGACAAUAAAGUAUAAUCUAUUCUAAAAUUACUCUUAGCCAUAUAUGGCAAACUUUUUUUUUACUGUUUACAAAUAAUAUUUUUUUACUAAAUUUUAUUUUAAAUAAUUUAAAAUUUUAAAAUUUUAAAUUUCAAAUUUCAAAAUUUAAAUUUGAAAUUUUAAAUUUGAAAAUUGAAAAUUGAAAAUUAAAAUUCAAAAUUUAAAUUUAAAAGUUGAUAAUUCAAAAUUUUAAAUUAAAAAGUUUAAAAUGACAUAUUGAAAAGGUUUCUGGAGUUAGAGGGUAAACUUGUAGUUUAUAUAGCAUGCAAGAUUAGUCGCCUUUAGUAAUCUAAGAUAUAACCCCCCGCCGAACAGAUUACAUACCGGAUGAACCAAACGCAAUAAUCCUGAUAGGAUUGCCUGUAAUCCUGCUAGGAUAACCCGAAUCAAACGCACCUUGAAAGUUGAACUUUGUAGGAAUAUAUUUGCCAUUCACUAUGUUUGCAGGAAUCUGUAUAAAAUUAACCCAAAAAAUUAACACAAUUGCGCAACAAAUAUGAAACCUUUCGGCUCUUCGCGCCAAGCACAACAAUUGCCACCACAUUAUUUUGUGUUUCAUCAUGUCUUUACGCCGAGGAAAUUACGAGGAUUCCAACUUUCAUGUAUAAACAAGGACAAAUACAAGGAACGGCGGUAACUGCGCGACUGCAGUGUCAUUUCUUCCCGACCGUAACUCCAACUACGACAUUGUUUACCUGCAUUGCGCAAGGCGAAUUAAAGGGAUUCAAAAGUAAAAUCAGCUUUUCGCAAAAGCCCGGGCAAUAGUGAUACCUCUACCUAGAGGUAAAAGAUGCUUACCAAGUUGCCUCUUUCGUCCACCGACUUAGGGUUCUCGACGACAACUGUGACGUUGUUGCCUUGCGAUGGAGGCUGAAACAAUUCAGAGGUAAAAUAAAUAUAAAUAAGUAAAACUAGUACAGUCCAAUUUGUAUUCAAAUUUAAAUCACCAACUUGACUAAAAUAAAAUACAUACAGCUGAAGUUGACGGAUAUUCAUUAGGCCUCUGCGGCACGGAAGCAGGAGCCAUCAUAUUGGUCAUCUAAAGGAAAAAAAGAAGAAGAAGAAAAUAUUUAUGUUACUCAAAACUGAAGAAGAUAGCAAAAGAUACUGGAGAAAAUGGAAGAGGAAUGUUAGAAGAGAGGAGAUUUCGGCAGUACCCCGGUGUUUGUAACAUAAUGGCAUACGGCGCAUUUGACAGACGGAGCUCCAUAAGGAUACAUGAGAGUCGUACGGCACUGGGCACAGUUCACAUGAGCUACGCUAUUUGCUGAUCACAGGCAAAAACAAAAUUAAAACCUUCUAAGAAUGACACCGUUAUUAUAAAUCAACUUAUUGUCGUCCAAUUUGCGGUUUGCAUUUGAAUGAUCACAAAACUACUGAUAGGAUGCAUUGACGAGUACAGAUAUUCGGCAACUUAAGAGAGGUAAAAUUUCACUUUCGGCAAAACUAAAACAGUCGAAAUGUGUCCAAGAUGGUUAAUAGCAAAACUAUAAACUACGAGUUUCAUGAGAAUAUCUCUCUCACGUCGGACCAGCAUAUUCAGGGAUACUAUAAAGGACUAAAGUAAUUAAGAACAGAAGCUACAUUACUGGCCAGAAGGACAAAUAGAAUGUCAGGAAUAAUAAAUAAAAUAUCUUGUCAUCACCUGAUCUGACAUUAUUGAUCAUGUUACAGCAGGAACAUCUCACAGUUGCUGCACCAUGAGGAUACAUCAAUAAAGUUCGGCAACCACCACAUAUAAGAUGAGCUGUUUCAACUCCUACAAAAAGGUUCGAUGCAAUCUUUCAAACACAUGUUAAUCUCCUAAAUUGCAUUGUUGAACCAUGAUAGCAUAGGCUAAGAAAGUGAUAGAAGGGAAAAAUUUAAUCAACACCUUAUGAUUCUCCUAUGCACAAGAACCUAGGAUAUCAAUAUAUCAUAAUAUAAUUCUUCACUUGUAUAAGUAGUAUUGCUUUAUAGUUCUCGGAUUUUAUGCAAAGAAAGGCUUCAUCUUUUUUACCCUAAGACCACUGAAAAAACAAAAUGAAGGUGUUUUCCAGAUACUAAGAAACACUAUCACUCCUACCAACAUUCUUCAAGUAAAGAAGAGAAGUCAUUCUAAACUUUUGCUAAAAUAGGCUAGUAAACAAGCAAUACAAAUAAUCAGCAUUCUCAGAAGUAAGAAGUACCUGGAGGGGGCACUGAAGUUAUAGUACGACAUAGUGCACAGCAUACGCUAGUGGCUCCCCUGGGAUAAAGAAGCAUGCUCCUGCAUCCAUUGCACACCACUUGGCUCUGCAUACCUGUACAAUCAAUAUUCAACCAUAGUUAAGUGAUCAAAUGCAGCUGAUCACAUAAUAAUCCAAGCAUCACGGACGUAAAGCGGAUGAUAAGAACUUAGCGAAAUGAUUGUUAGUAAACAUGCUUUACAUUAAAUCUAUUGCAUAAGGUUGACGCUCGAUUUUGAUAAAACUCAAUCUGAAGCCACAUAAUUUGAUGAGCAAAAAUGUGAUCUGUGAUCAGAACUAUUUCAACAACCAAAGAAGAGAAACAAUUUGAGAUCCUUGAAUUAUGCAUCAAACAAGAAGCAUCAGAUGAAAGGUUUAGCUAAGAUACAUAUUCUGUGAGCAUCAAAAGUGCAUUGAAUUUUGUUUGCAAGGGUUUUGAACGCAUCAAAAUAAUCAUCUAAAUCUUCUUAUUAAAUGCGCUAACGUAUGUCUUAAGAAACAACUGCUUAUUUGUGUAAUGUGCAGUGAAACAAUUAAUCAAUCCUUGAAACAGCAAGCACUUCAUUCCUGCAGCUACUUGUAUUCAGAUUUCGAUAUUUAAUUCAAAAAAACGCAAGCUCUUAAAUAACAAAAACUACAAACCUAUGCCCUACGGCAAAAAUACAGGCAAAAAUGAUCCUUCUAAUACAACACAAACAAAAGCUUCUGAUCCAAAUCAUCUUAGGUCACAAAAAUCAAGUAAUUGACUAGCUUCUUAAACAUCACAAAUCCCCCCUCGAAUGAACAGGAUAUCUCAAUCAUAUGCAUUGAAAAAACAGUGCAGAUAUGCUAAUACAGCAGUAAAACGCCCAAAUUUACUACAUCGCACCAUCGAAUCCAGAUACUCGCAACAUAAACCACAAUUUACGAGAUCAAACUCUACAAAAAGCGAGCAGAAACCCUAAUUGAGCGCAGAAUCAACGUCCAAAAACAAAAAAAAAAAAAAACUCAAAUCGAAGAUCUGAUUACCUGUGUAUUACCAAAACGAAUCGAAGGGAAACCCCGUUCCGAUCGCGAGGAGCUGUCGUUGGAAUCGGCUCCUCUCCCGAUGCUCCGCAACGAAGAGCUUCCGCGGUAUACGAAGAAGAAGACGAUCAAAUUUUAUAGAUUUAUUUAUACUUUAUUUUAUUUAUUUAUUUAUUUUAUUUAUUAUUAUUAUUUUUUGGGUGAGAGGUAGAGAGAGAGAGAGGAGGAGAGAGAACGGGUUUCGUUCUCGCCGGUUUGAGACCAACUGCUAUUGCUGGAAUUUUCCAACGACGAGGAAAAUUCACCCAAAAAUAGGAAAAUAUUGCGUGCACCAAGUGUAUCCGUACAUCAAUACACCGCAACCGCAAUGUAGUGAGUGAGGUUUCCAGGGUGGUGGUAGGGAUGCAGAUGGAUCCGGAUUGAUGGAGCUUCUGCCCGAUCCGUCCCGAAUGGGGUGGUAAGUGGGAACAAAAUAUAUAGAAAAAUAUAAUCCGUUCUGAAUCCAUCCCGAUUUGCCAAGUAAAUGGAAUGAGAGGCGGGGGACUUUUUUUUUUUUUUUUUCCUUCAAUCCUUUGAUUCGUCAAAAAUUUGUCAAAAUUCAUCCCGAAUGAAGAGGUAAGUGGGAGUAAAAAAUAAAAUAAAAAAUAAUCCGUCCCGAAUCCGCUCCAUCCGACAAGAAAUGGAGCGGAAGGUGGGGGAACUCUACUGCCGCCGGAUCCGGCCCGUUUGCAUCCCUUGGUCAUAGGUGGUGGUGUAUGAGCUCUACUUAUACACCUGGUGCACAAUGCACCGGGUGCACGCAAUAACUAAUCCUCCUCAAUCCUAUUUUUUGCUUCCCCGAAAACCCCUAAUUUUCGAUUCCUCCACUCUCUCUCUCUCUCUCUCUCUCUCUCUCUCUCUCUCUCCCCCCCCAACAUCUCCCUCUCAGUGUCUCUCGUUCUCCUCUUCCUCAGCUUCGGAUCGACACGCAUGGCGCCCCCCGCUUCCCCGAGCAUCCCCCACACCCCUCUCGGGAACCCGCUUUCGCUAUUUCCCCCUCCUCCUCCCCGAUUCCGGGUUCCCCUUUUGUGCCCUACGCCCUUCGUCUCCGGAAGAGUAAGUAGGCUUCGGUGCGAGUUCGACGUGAAGGGUAAUGGUGCCCUCUCUGGCGACAUCGACCCUCGCCUCAUCGAUCGGGUAGGGUUUCGAUCUUAAAUAACGUUGGGGAAGUUGAUUCUGAUUGAAAUGUGUCGUGGGUUCUCUUCAAAAUGUGAUUUUUUACUUCGUGGGUUGUUGCGAAGUGUAAAUUUGGACUAAUUUUUGUGUUGGUUUUGUAAUUGGAGUUGCCUAUUUGGAGGUGAUAUUGAUUGUUUGUGGUAUGAUAGUGUAUUGUAUUGGACUUGAAUGAGUUCUAGUAUUGGCUUGUUUCUCUACGUUAGUACUCUCUAGAUUAGGGUUUAGGGUUUAAGGAGCUUCUUUUCCCUCUAUGAAGUGUUGGGAAUCAUUCCAUGCUGACUCUAACCUUCCUUUGCUAAUCACUGGGGAGCAAUUCUUAUAUCCCUAUAAGAUAUUAGCUAUUCAUGUUUUAUUGCUAGAUUACCUAUCUUCUCAAGUAGUGUACAUUCCUAUUUCUAACUUAUUAGUCAAUAAUACGCACACAUUCCUGACUAUUAGAAAAAAUUAGCAUUUUUUUAACUCCAUACUUAAGGCCGACAUUGAGUUUAGUGGUCCUGCAAAUUGGUGUACAGGAAACUGCGGCCUCUUUAUGUUCAACGUCGGUCAUAUGGCAACUAAAUUUGUUCACCCUUCUUAGUUUGUGAUAGAACUAGAAUUAUGAGAAAUCCUAAAUUAUUAUGAUCCUUGUUUACGCAGCAAAAAGCACUGGAAACAGCGAUGAAUGAUAUAAACAGUUCAUUUGGAAAAGGAAGUGUUACAAGAUUAGGCAGUGCCGGUGGUGCUCUAGUGUAUGUUUUUGAGCUCCUUCGCUUUCUAUAUGAAGAUAGUUUUUUUAUUCUUCAGAGGUCGUGCUGAUUAUUCUAGUUUUACUGCAGAGAGACUUUCCCGAGUGGGUGUUUGACAUUAGAUUUUGCUUUGGGUGGUGGUAUUCCCAAAGGAAGAAUAGUGGAGGUGGGUUUGUUACUUCCAUAGCUAAAUUGAACCUCUUUUGUUGGUCAAGAUAUCAGUUUAUAAUUUGAUUGUCAGCAUCAAUAUCUUAUUAUCCAAUUCUGGAAAAGAAAAAAAGAAUGAAAGAAUCUAUCGUGACGGUUACAGUACUUUAGCCAAAGUUGCUUAUCUUGUUUAUAUAUAUGGACCAUGCAGAAUAGGAAUGUCUAAACACAAAAUUGACUUGUCAUGGACAUAUUUCUACUACCAACAAUAUGCAUCCUGAAAAUAGUUUGACUAUUUGCAGAUAUUUGGCCCAGAGAGCAGUGGAAAAACUACCCUAGCUCUGCAUGCAAUUGCGGAAGUACAGGUUGGCAUUGUAUAUUAUUUAGCUGUUUCAAUUUUUCAGACCCAUAAGGAGAUAUUGCAUUCUUUACAACCACUUGAACUAUAUUAAUGCUAAUUAUGCUUUAUUGUUGUUAAAAUAUAGCGUAAUGGUAGUUAUACUAUGCAGAAGCUUGGAGGCAAUGCGAUGCUUGUUGAUGCAGAGCAUGCUUUUGAUCCAGCUUAUUCAAAAUCAUUGGGGGUAGACAUAGAGAAUCUGAUUGUUUGCCAACCUGAUAAUGGAGAAAUGGCAUUAGAAAGUAACAUCUCUAUUUCCUCCAUAUGAUUUCUAGCUUCCAGUUGCUUUUCUUUUGUUAAGAUUCAAUCUGUCCCUCUGUUUCUAUGUAGCCAGGUGUCUAUAUCAUUGCUAAUGUUUAUUAGUAACUCUGCUACAAUAUCAAUAAUUUUGUGAGAUCACUAAAUCUACUAUAAAGCAAAUCAAAAUUUUUAUCCCGACUGCCCAAUCAUAAUUUAUUUUGACGAAAUGAUGUGUUUAAUAUAUGUUAAGAUUGAAGAUAGGUAACUAAUUGCUUUAUUCGCAGAGAGUGGUGAUACAAACUAACUUUUCUUAGAGUACGUUCAGUGGAGAUGCUUUUCUUUCUUUCCCAUAUAGACUUCACGGACAGUUUGUAGGAAAAUGGCUACUCUUCAUACAUUAAAAAGGGUAAAGUGUGUAAGAGUUGGAAAUUUAAUGUACAUUCACUUAACUUUUUUGUUGGCAAUCAACUUAUGAUGUACAUGGGGAAGUUAGAUAGAUAAAAAACAUGUGAAAGUCUCUUCUUUAAGUAUAGUUUGACUGACAUUCUUCUAUCUCAGUUGCCGAUCGUAUGUGCAGAUCUGGAGCAAUAGAUGUCAUUUGUGUUGAUUCAGUCUCAGCUCUCACUCCAAGGGCAGAAGUUGAAGUAAGUUUUUGUUUUUUUUUUUCUUGAUAUGUUCACAUAUAUAACCCUGCAAAAUUAUCUAUUGGCAUCAACAUAUCCCGGCAAAAUGUAAACUUGUAUACCUCCUUCCUAAGAAAAGGUGCUGCUCUUUAAAAACUUGAGAUAAUACAAAACUAAUGCCUUUGAUUUGGAUCCUGAUGGUACUUUUGUAAGAAAGUACAAAACAGAUCAUUUAAAUAUAGUCCCCGUAAUUUCUUUUUUCGACCAUAAUUUAUAUGCUUGGUCAAUUAUAAUUCUGCAAUUUAUGUUUAGGGUGAGAUAGGAAUGCAGCAAAUGGGUCUUCAAGCUCGUCUUAUGAGUCAAGCUCUACGGAAAAUGUCGGGCAAUGCCUCGAAAGCUGGUUGUACUCUCAUUUUUCUUAAUCAGAUAAGAUAUAAGGUCUGAAUUUUAUUUUUUUCUUUUUCCUUUUUUUUUGGGAGUUCAUAACUUGAUGCCCUCUCUUGUUAAAGAUUGGAGUGUUCUAUGGCAAUCCCGAAGUCACUAGUGGAGGAAUAGCUUUGAAAUUCUUUGCAUCGGUUCGCCUUGAGAUUCGUCCUAUUGGGAAGAUAAAGUCUGUAAGCCCAUAAAACUAGCUUUUGGUUUAGUAGGCAAGUUGUAGUGCGAUGUCUAAAGUAAAUGAAGACUUUUAAUCAAAUAAAACUGGUUUAUUGUUCUUUAUGUAGGCAAAAGAAGACGAAGAUAUUGGUGUCAAGGUCCGUGUUAGGGUGCAAAAAAGCAAAGUAUGUAUACUUGCUUAGUUCUUAUCCUUCAAUUUAUAUUAUUUAUGCAGCAGAGGAAAAUUCUGAAAGUUCAACCGGAGAUUUUUGCGAGUAGUAGAUUUAGUUUUUGUGCAUUCUUCCAGGUUUUGCCAUGCUUUUUUUGUAAUGAGCUCUAACUUGUUUUUCUGCUUUGUCUUCUUCACAGGUCUCUCGACCCUACAAACAAGCUGAAUUCGAAAUCAUAUUUGGGGAGGGAGUCAGUAAAUUGGUCAGUAUAUAGUGACUUUUUUCUCCUUUUUGUUUUGUUUUUUAAAUGCUUGAGAAGCACCCUUCUUACUCUGUAAAAGUUAUCCUUCAGGGAUGUGUUCUUGAUUGUGCUGAAAUGAUGGAUGUUGUGUCGAAGAAGGGAUCAUGGUACAGCUACCGAGACCAGAGGUUUGCUUCCUCUGUUCAGAAUCAUCUCCGAAUCAUCUUAAAACCUAUGUCUCCAGCCAUGCUAUUAAUAGAUCCCAAAGGAUCUUUUAAUCUAUUCUACUGAAAUAUACAUUUCAAGUAUAGCAUCUUUGGUGCUGCUGAAAUGUCAUUCUAAUUUACUCUUACCAGUUAUUUGAAUAAGAAUAACUUGUGGAGGCUUUUUCAAGAGAAGUUAACUCUUGGAACAAAAGUUUCUGAUCCUUGCUUAACAACUGUGUUUAUUGCUAGUUUGUAUAUUUUGAUUCAUUUAUUAUUAUUUUUUUAAUUCUUGUUGUAACAAUUAAAUUUUCUAACAGGUUGGGGCAAGGCAGAGACAAAGCACUGCAGUAUCUGCGAGAGAAUCCUUCUAUCUGCAGCGAAAUAGAUAAGGUGCGCAAUCUCAGCAUUAUCUCAGUCUCAGAUACUUGCAUGAGAAUUGCAUCUCUCUCUCUCUCUCUGUCUCUCUCUCUCUCUGAACUUUUCUUGCUAGUACCUUUAAAACAAGCGUAAGUGGUUGGUAAAUCUUUUUUUUUGUAAAUUGCAUCGCUUUUUGCAGGCGGUGCGAGCAGUGAUCACAGAUGGGAGCAGACAUAUGAGCCUACUAGCAUUUGGCCAGCCACCGACCGCAGAAGAUGAGCGCGUCUUCGAAUAGUCACGAUUCUGAAAAGUAGCUCGCAACUAACACGUGAAGAUUAAUCACUUAUGUUCAGUGAUCUCCCAUCACUGAAACUUAUCGGCCAAGGAUCAUGGUGGAUCAACUGUAACAAUUGUGGGAUGCUGGGAAAACCGCGCGGCAAGUUUGUGAACUGUGAAAUCAUUUUGUAUGCUUCCACUGGAAAAUGCAGGCACUGUUGUAUGGAGAACCGGAUGUUCCAUGGAAAUUAGAGAUUACUUGUUUCUGCACUAAGCUGUUGCCAUGUAAAGGUUGUCUCCAUAUUUGACUAAAUUAAGGUCGAAAUGUAUCGAAAAGAUAUUUGAUCAGCUUAAAUUGAAACAUUCCUUGCAAUGCUAGGGGGGUGUUUGAUACUCGGAACAGUGUGAAAAAUUAUUUUUCAAGGCAAAAAUUAUAGAAAUGAUAUUUCUCAUGAAUUUUUUUUAAAAAAAUAGUUUUCCACGAUUUUUUUGAGUAACGAGACACUGGUUUUUCCGAAACUAUUCUUUAAGCUACCGUUUGGUUCGGAGUUAAAGGAAAAACUAGUUAUUCUAGGAAUAGGAUUAAGUUCGGGGUUAAGGUGGAGUUAGAGUAUUUUUGUGUUUGGUUGGGGGUUGGAGUUAGUCUAGAAUAGUAAAAAAUAGUGUUUGGUUGGAAUAAGUGGGAUAAGAAGGAUAGUGGGUUAUUAUAAAUAAACAAUAGUGUUUGGUUGGGGUUUGGUGGGGUUAGGUGGGGUUAGUUAAAUCGGGAUAACCCAUUUGAGGUGGGGUUAGCUAAUCCUACCUAUUUUUUAAAGUGUUUGGGGAUAAUAUGAGGGUUAAGGGGUUAUUCCACCUCCUAAAAUAAAAAGGAUUCGUGUUGCGGUUUAUCGCGGGAAACCAUUGAACUCAACCCGACCCGCUUUCUCCUUCCCCCGCAACACGGAGUCCCUGUUAAUUAAAAUUAAAAAAGAAAAAAAAAGAAAAAAAAAAAGACCAUCGAUCUCGUCGUGCCCGUCGAUGCCUUAUUCCAUUUUCCCGCGAUCGUUUCUCCCAUUUAAAUAUCCCCCACACUUCCCACCGCUUCUCCAUUCCACAACCUCCGCAUAGAAGCGAAGGGGACGAUUCCCCGAAGCUAGGGUUUCUUCCUUCUCCGAUUCCCACGUCUAGGGUUUCGAUUCAAGCUUCCUACCAUUCCUAUGGAGGCGGUGGUCGUCGAUGCCGGAUCCAAGCUCCUUAAAGCCGGGAUCGCCUCCCCCGAUCAGAAUCCCGCUCUGGUAUCGCAUCCUCCAUCCGAUUUGCUUCGUGUAAUUCCUGUUGUUUUCUUCUUCGUAGAUCGAGUUUAAUUGUUUGAUUCGAGUGUUUGGGCAGAUACUCCCGACGAAGAUGAAGCGGGUGUUGGAGGAGGGAGAGGCUGGGGAGGGGGAGGGUUCGGAGGUCGAGGAGGUGACUGUGGAUCCCGUAGUGAGGGGUUUUGUCAAGGAUUGGGACGCCAUGGAGGAUUUGCUCAAGCAUGUGUUGUAUACGCUGAUCGGAUGGGAGAUUGGGGAGGAGGGACAAAUCCUGUUCACCGAUCCUCUCUUCACCCCGAAGGUUUUGUUGAUGGGCCAUUGUUUCAUUAUUCAGUACUUUGAUGUUUCAAGUUGAUGGUUUGAUGCUGCUUCUUGCUCACUUGGAGCUUCUAGUUCAAAGAUUUAUAAUUCAUAGAUUUAUGCAUGUUUAUACAAUCUGGAUUUAGAGUAGAAAGUUUAAUCAUAAAUUUUAGAAUAUGAACCAGUUCUGUAUUAGUAGCACUUGUAGUAGCAAAAAUACUUGUGGAAGCAGCAUUUGGACGCUGUAGGGCUAACGCUGUAAAAGUAUUAGCCGUAAAAGUAUUAGCAAUAGUAACAAUGGAAGCAUUACUGGCAUUAUUAGCAGCGGAAUCAGUACUGUAACAGUUUAGAUAACUCGUUAUUUGAUUUUUUUGGAGUAACAUAUAGUCUGUUGCAUUUCUCAUAGAAAUCGGUUUAGUUCUCACUCUGAAUGUGACGUAUCUUUAAAUUUUUAUCCCAUGCAGGCUCUCCGGGAGCAAUUGGUACAGCUAAUGUUCGAAACAUUUAAUGUUUCAGGCUUUUAUGCCUCUGAACAAGCUGUACUAUCACUUUAUGCUGUAGGACGCAUCUCAGGAUGCACAGUUGACAUUGGACAUGGGAAGAUAGGUAUGAAUUCUAGACCGCUGACUAGCUGCUUUUGCAACUGUGUGGAGGUGAAAUUGUAUGUAGCUAUAACAGAUUAUGUUUGCUUGACUAAAACACCCAUAAAAAAUUCCAGAUACUACUGUGCUUGACAACUUAAAAACUGUUACUAAGAUGAUAAGAGAAACGUACUUUUCAUAUGAAGUUAAAAUGUAUGCAAUGAAGUGUUUCCACAAUAAUGGAACAGCGUAGGUUGGAACGUAUUUGGUUUAAAAGGCUGGAUUACUAAGAUCAUGCACUUUGAGAAGUGUGUCAAUACACUAUGUGAUAUCAAAUUUAGUUAACUGUCUCAUUUAAAUGACAAGGAGAGUCUAUUUGUCUGAAUGGUGAUAAGAAUGGAAUUUUAACCUUCUUUAAAGCAGGUAAAAUCUUUACAUACUUGAUUGUUAAUGGAACAAUGUUCUAUACAUAUGUAAGAUGAACAGUAUACAUAGUCUUGAUAUUCAUGAUAUUUCUAAAUUGCUCUAGCCUUCUCUUUGAUGUGAUCAGCUAGUACAAUAAACAUUUUCUGCUGUUCUAGAAUCUCUAACUAUAGAUUGACGAACUUUCUAUUUGAUCCAGAUAUUGCGCCAGUUUGUGAAGGUGCGGUUCACCAUAUAGCUUCAAAAAGGUUUGAAAUUGGGGGAAUUGAUUUGACAAAUUUAUUUGCACGAGAACUUCAAAAAUCCAAUCCGUUAGUUAACAUUGACAUUUCUGAGAUUGAGAAGUUGAAAGAGCAGUAUGCUUGCUGUGCUGAAGACCAAUCUACCUUUGACGAAACACAAAAUUCGUGUCAGACAGAGAAGCACACUCUCCCAGAUGGGCAGGUCUGAAAGUUGUCUCAAAAAUGCCACAUUUCCUUUUUUUGUAUUUGGACUAAUAAUCAACUGCUGUAAUAGAAUUACCCUUUUACCUCUUGAUGUUAUAUUAAUUUGUUUGUCUGGUGCUAACUAAAUAGCACAUGUUGGCGAUUGAAAUCCUGCAUUACAUCAGUUAGGUGGCAUUAGAUUAUACCUUCAUUAGUAAGAAAAAUUGUGUUAGUGCUAAAAGUUGCUCCUCAUUAGUAAGAAUAUCAAUGUCAUAUUUUUAUGCCUUUGCUCAGGCUGGUUUAGGUGCUUGUCUAUUUUGUGAUGAAACUAUUGCCUACAUAAUUUGUUGAUGCAGUAGCAAGCUUGAUCCAUAAGAGGUAGCUUUUCCACUAAUCAGGUUAAGAAUGUUAGGCCGGACGAUGGCCUGUUAGCAGGCUAAGGUCCAAAUUAUUUUGCUCUAUAUUUUUACUCACUUAUCUUGGUAAGUUAAUCUCUACCUUAUUUUCUCAGGGUAGCUUGUCAAAUACAAUUUAGUUUCUCCUUUUCUGGCUCAUAACAUAUUUACACCUUACAAUGCACUCUUUCCCUUCCAAUUUCUGGAAUGUACGGCAUUAUAAUAAUGCAAGCAAAAUAUGGUAUUAUAUUGGGAUUUUGCUAGUGAUUGCUCAUUUGUUACAUGAAGUCUUCUGUUAUUUUCACUUGUAAGUGAUCUUGUCUUUAUUUGCUGAGCAUAGUUUAGAUUAAUCCCCUAGCGAUUGUUAAAACCAUUCUUUCAGGUGAUAACAAUUAAAAGAGAGCGAUAUAUUGUUGGUGAAGCUCUCUUUCAGCCAUCUAUCUUGGGAUUAGAGGAGUAUGGACUUGUUGACCAGCUAGUCCGGAGCAUCUCAACCGUUUCAUCUGAGUACCAUCGACAGCUCUUUGAAAAUACUAUGCUCUGUGGUGGUACAGCAUCUAUGACUGGUUAGUUGUAACAUCCCUUCAUCUAAAUUUUUUGUUCUUUAAAGUUUUGCUAGUAGGAUUGGGUUAGCAGAACUCUUUUUGUCUAAGCACAUUUGCUAAUUUAGUUAGGAAAGGGUGCUUUAUGCAGAUCUGUGAGUCAUGUUUAUUGCUUAUUUUUAUAAAGUAACUUGUGUAUAUAUAUAUAUGUAUCAAACUUCUUUAGGUGAGGAAUCUUUUUGGAUUUGUCAAGAAUUUUGGUUCUUGAAAUGAAAUUAUGUUGUAUUCCCCAGUGUUGUGUCGUCUAAAUGUUUGUUGUCUAUCCGACAUAGCAAACACUGGAAUGACCUUUGCUUCGAGGAUUCAGUUGCUCCUGUUUUACAGGAGCAUAUUCGGAUUUCUUCCCAGGUAAGAGGAAGAAAUAAAAGGUCAACCUUUUGGUAGAGUUGUUAAAACCUAAUGCAUCAUGUUUAGGACAUGUACUAGGGGACUUGGGAAUUGAUGCUAAAAUCUUUGCAUGUCUGUGCUUAAUGUUUUAUUUUUAACAGUCCCAAGCCAGGAGAUAGAGGAGGGUCCUGUUGAGUAGAUUACCAGCCAGCAUGAAACUAUUGUCAAGAAACCAGGAAAAAUAUGUAAGUAGAUCUUUAGUAUGAUGAAUAGGAAAUCUUUACAGGAAAUAGUGAGGAAAGGUAUUGUAGCACUGAUUUUGAUGUAGCCUCUUGCCUUAAACAAAACUGCAUGUAAGUGCAGCAUCAAUACAGAGAACCCCAGAUAGUUGUGGUUAAAUGAUCAAAGUUUGUCAUCAUUGCUGUUGCUGUUGUUAUAUAUAUGUCUUAGUUUGUACUGAUGGUAGCUUUCCAUUAAAGUGUAUGUUAAUAUUAUUUUCUAUAAAGUUGUUUUCUACUGAUAUGUUACUAUAAAUUGUUUUUUGGUUACAUUUGCAUGAUUUUUUCUAAUGCUAUCAUCGUCACAUUGGAUAAAAAAAUAUAUCAGAAGGAUGCUGGAUUGCUGGAAUAAUCAUUAUCUGAAAAUAGAAGACGCACAGACUUCUAAUAGAUGAACCACUAUAUAUGGCACUAGUUAAUUAUAAUUAUUGAAGAAGCAUCACCACUCUUUUUCCUUUUUUUUUCUCUCUUCCAGACCUCCCCUCCUCUUUUUCAGUGAAUCUGUCUAGUACAGAGAUGUAUAGACAGAAUUCGGGAAUCAUUGCCAUCUUGAUUCUGAAUAGUAGAUCUUCUUACUGCUUUCAGCUAUCAUUCUAUAAUUGAUUAUGCCGCAUAUUAUAAGUUAAUAUAUUUACUGCUUAAUUAUGUUGAAUCUGUGUGCAUGUGUUUCGUCCAAUUUUAAACUUAUCAUUUAUUUCAUUAGUUCAGUUUUAUAAACUUAAAAACUUAAUACUCAAUUUCUGAAAUUCAUUAGUCAUGCUAUCAGCUGCUGAUCCUCUGCGGCCACUCAAUAUUUCUUCUUGCCAAUACAGUUAAUGGUGGACUCUAAGGUGUUUUAUCAUUUUUAGGAAAUCACCUCCAGCAUUUUUGCUGUAACCUACUGCAUUGCUGAUAAGUAAUUUGAUUAGUUAUCAGUUACUUCCCCUGAAGAGUUGUAUCACAUUUCUAUGCAACUUUACAGUGGAGUAGAUUCACUCGACACACUUGUUCCUUUCCUCAGGUUUUGAAGAGCGGUUCCAGAGAGAAGCAAAUCUAUGCACUUCGUCCAUCCGUCCGGCUCUUGUAAAGGUACAUAGAGUUUUUUUUUUUCAACAGAUGGGGCCUUUUUUUUUUUAAAAAAAAAAAAACCUAGUUUGAGUUUCUGCGGAAGUGCUAAUAGAAGAAGCCCUUAAAAUGUUGGCAUUAAAAUCUCUCUGAAAGCUUCAAAUUUCAGGCGUUAGAAGCUCAUUCUUGCUUGGCACUCCAGCUAGGAGCUCUAGAUAUUAUGUUUCUUGAAUAGCUAGCUUUUGUUUUUCAAUUAGGGAAGUUAUUUUAGAAGCUGGAAAAUUAAGCACAUAUUACAUUAACCAUGGAUUGAUUAAUACUAUCAAAUCCAUUUCAGCCGCCGGAGUACAUGCCAGAGAACUUGGCGAAGAACUCUGCUUGGAUGGGUGGCGCAAUAUUGGCCAAAGUUGUUUUCCCUCAAAACCAGCAUGUGACGAAGGCAGAUUAUGAUGAGACUGGUCCGGCAAUCGUCCACAGAAAGUGCUUCUGAGAUUAGCUAAUCGUGGCAAUACUCUCUGGUAACUGUGUACAACACACCUUUUUCUGCUCGCUAACUUAUGAAGAAUUGCUUCCACUUUAAAUAUACAAUACUUACCAGAAUGCUCGUCAAACUGUUUUUUGUCUCUGUUUUCUCUACCAAUUCGCAUUUUAUGCUUGUAGAUUCUUACUCUCAAGAAUUUGAUUUACAUCAGGUUUAUUUGCUAUUCAGUAUAGGAUAAGAUCUCAUUCUUUAACUGUUCUCCUUUUCUGAAAACUCUCCCUACCAUCUUAUCCACAAGUGCCUACGACAUCAGCUUAAGCCAAUAGAAACCUUACACCUGUAAACUUGUCUAGGACCAUAUGAAAAAAAAGAAGAAGCAGCUCUCUUGUCCCUGCUAUCUUUUCGUUUUCAACCCUGGAGAAAUGCCAAACGACUAGGCACGGAGAUGGACCAUUCUUUGUUUCAUGUACCUAUCAUCCCAUCUUUUGCAAGAGGUUAAUGAUCCUCGCUUGUCGGAAGAGGUUGAUAGACCAACAGAAAUGGGAUGGGUGGAACCAGAUAGAGUUAUAAACUUUUGAACAAAAAUGCCGAGAUACUGUAACUUCCUGGGAUUCUAUGCUCCCUCUUCGUAAGCCACUGUUCAGACAAUUCCGAAAAUUAACCAAAAUAGACAUUAAGGACCUGUAUUGUUGUCGGGACUAGUAAACACGAGAUAAUUGUGUUCGGUGUGUGCUGCUUUUGGAAUUGCAUCAAAAAAGAUUGAUGCAUGCUCGCAUGAGAGGUUGUAGGUUGUGGACCUGCUUGCAGGAAUUUAGUAGUACUUGCUCCUGUUAUUGCCCCCCCAAAAAGCUCUCACUUCUAGCAAUUGAAGGUCAAACUUUCUGACCAUGCAACUGUAGCAAAUCCCGUCCUGUAUUCCGAAAACAUUGAGUCCUUAGGUUUUUUUUUCUUUGAUCAACUUGCAUACUUCUAAAAUCGCAUACCUGGUUGCAUUUCACUGGCAGGUUCACGAAGUAAUCACAAGAUUAAGGUAGAAACCAAGCAAUUCAAAACUGUGAGUUUGUACACACUCGUAGAAGUUGUCUUGAAAGUGCUUUUGUCGAUGAUUGGUAGUUGGAUUAAUCGUUAUUCUAAAUAUUGCUUUUCCCACAAAUUCCUGCUAUCGCUGUGAUAUAAACACAAUCAAUUCAAACGUUGAAAUUCUUAUCUAGUAAUAUCUCUCUCUGGUUUAAUUAUUAUACUUUUGUGGCUUUGAUCCUGGGUUUUGGACUGAAAAACAGAUCUCUUAAAUAUAUUCUACCAUUUUGCUAUUUUAAAUCUAUUUUUACGCGGCAAUGCCUUGACAGAUGAAGUAUCAACCAGGUAUGAAUCACACGCAACAUUUUUUUGUCUCCACCAUAUUAACCCUUGCCGGAGAGGAAUUUAAACAUGACUUGGGAUUUAGGUUUGGGUUCUAAAAUAAGAUCUGAGACAGCUUAUUUGGUUUUGUAUUUGGAUCAGGUUUCAUCUUUGGCUCAAUUUGAGCUCGGAGCCAAGUUAAUAGGUUAGAUCUUUCACAAUUGCAUAUCUUCUUUGUUUGUUUCUUUUUCUUUUUCUUUUUUUAUCAUAGGCGCAUACCUCUGAUGUUUUUGCUUGGUCCAAGAAUCGAUCUUGAGAGCAUGUGGGUAACCCUUCAAAGCUAGCCAAUUAGGUUAGAGCUCGGUGGUAUGUAAUUGCAUAUCUGAUUCGAAGUCGUUAGUGGUUCCUUUGCUUUCUGAAUAGAUGCUGGGUGAUUAGAGAAAUUAAAAGUGGAGUAAUAAAUAGCACGAAUUCGUUAAUUGAAUCCUGAAUACGAGCCCAGCAAGUUCUACACACAUUGCAGAGAAAAGGUAGGUGCAGGAAUAUUUGACUACUUUCCAUAGUUACAAAAGAGUUGAAGUUGUGUCCUCUAAACUUUGAAAAGCAACAGUGAAAAGGCCUGGGCGGCUAAAAGAUCCUGAAUGUUUGUGUGUUAAAUCGUUGGAAACGAGUUCUUGACUGCCAGAAGCUUAAGCUUUACAUGCAGUAAGAUGCUUCUACUGUAACUUGGAAAAAAUCCGUCUAAAUGCUGUUGAUGAGUUGAUAGUUAUGUGGCUUAUGCUAAUUGAUUCACGUGCAUGUCUUAAGCAUUGUCACCAAAUCACCAAUCGUGUGUUAAGAACUAAAAAAGAAAGAAAGAAAAAAUUAACGUAUUAAAUCUUUCCAUUUUACUGUAGCUAAAACAGUUGAGUCAAAAUUUGAGUUCUAACUUGAAAAAAGAAAAAAGAAAAAGUAUCAAACUCAACUCCAGUAGUAUAUUUGAUUUUUAUCUCAUAGGCAACUAAUGCGAUUACUGUGAGUUCCUAAACCGAAGAAUCCGUGUUUGCAAAACGCGAGAGCAAAAACACGGCAAAACAGAGGAGACACGGAGGAUGCGAACAGGAGGGAAAAGAAGAAAAGCUAAACGACAACAGGAUAAGGAAGAUACCUCAUCCCUGUAGUCUAUAUAUAUAUAUAUAGAGAGAGAGAGAGAGAGAGAGGGAGAGAGAGAGAGAGAGAGAAUUGAGCUUCUAUGCUUUUAAAUGAUUUGUGCUAUUAAGUUUUGUACCUUAGAUUAAAAAAUAUGCAGUUAUAUAUGAGUCCGGCUCCUAUGCUAUUAAUAGCACGAAGCACUUAGUGCUACUAAGUUUUCCAUCGCUAGAUCUAUCCUUUUGAUCAUUUUCAUUCGUUAGAUCAUACUAUUUAAUCAACCAUCCACUCAACCCUAGGGGGUCCACAUCAUCCUAGCCGCACAUUUCUUAAUCCAAUGGUCAAAAACUUGGUAGCACUAUAUAUAUAUAUAUAUAUUCAGAAAGUGACCUCUUCACUGAGGAGAUUAGGUCUCUCAGUACACCCAGGAAUGAGACCAUGCGAUCUGUUUGAUAUCGACCUACGAAUCUCUCUCUCUCUCUCUCUCUCUCUCUCUCUCUAUAGCAUGACUCGUUUGGUCUCUCUUUGUUGGCGUGCAAAAUUUAAAGUAUUAUUAUUAUUACUAUAGUUACAUUAGAAUAACCUGUUCUUAUUGAUUGUUCAUAGAAUGUUGUUUUUAGCGAUUGUUGAUGUAUUAACAUAUAUGUUGCAGCGGUAUGCAUGCAUGUGGGAUUUUUUGAUAUAUAAGUAUUUUUAUUCAGGUUGCUAAUAGAACGCGUUGUCGAUCCUACUGACUUAGAUUAUGACAUGUCCCUGCAUAUCAUUGUUUGUAAAAACUUUCGUACAACCCUUAAUACCAAGCUGGUCCUAAGAAUAGCUUGUUGGGGAGCUCUAGAUUAUUAUAUUCGUGACAUUUAACUAAAUAAUAAUAAAGAAAUGGAACAAGGAACAUGGCGCAAGUAACAAGACACUUGAUUACAUAGUUGUAAUUAAGCACAACAAAUUCUUUCUCGUGAUCCCGAGGGGUUAACAGCUCUAAUUCCUACUCUUUGACCCAGCUUUACAUAACCAUGCAUAACAUAAUAAGGUGCUUAUUUUUGCAACAGCUUAGAUUAAAAAUAUUAUUGAUGAAGUUAAUAUUGUAAACAUAAUAAAGAUUGGUUUAGAUUUUUUGAGCUGAUGUUGUGUCUGUUAAAAUAAUAUAAUAGAAUCAAUUUUUUUUCCAAAAAUUUACGGUAUUUCUAAUAUUUAUAUAUAUUCAGUGUUUUUGAUAAUCCUAAUAGGUGAAUUUGAAUUAAAUAAGAAAAAAUUAAUUAUGUUAUAGGUGUAUGACGGGCCUCUAACUCGGUAUUUUUAAUUCUGAUACUAUAUCAAAUUGUAUAAAAUAACUGUUGUUUUUUAAAAACUUAAGCGGUUAGAAAACAACGUCUCUAAAAUUUAUAUUCAGCAGCGCAACAUUAAUUGUCAUAUUUGAAAUUUAAAAACUGAAUCAAAUGCAAUAUUAAUCCAUAAGCAGCGAUAGAGUGUACCUUGGUUAAUUAAAACUCUUUCUUAUUUGUUAUAGUUGCAGGUACUAUAUAUGAUAUCAAAUUAUGUUGGUUUCGUAUAACUCCACGACAAAGUAAUUAAUUAUACACCUAAGCUAAAAUGAUUCGAUCAUAAGGGCUACUCACACGAUAACAAAAUAAAUAUAAAAUGCUUGCUUAAUUUCUUUUUUUAACUCAUUAGUUUACCGUUUAUAUAAGCUAUUUCUUUUUCCUUGUCCUUUUUUUUUUUUUUAAAACUUCACAAAUAAGCUGUAAUUCUUUUACAUAGGCACACAUCCAUACUCUUAUAUGAAUCCCCAAUGUAAAAUGAUGAUGUGGCAAACUCUCUUUUUUUUUAGUUUACGUUUCUUUUCCAUUCUAAAUGCUCAACCCUUCACCUCUCCACAUUUAAUUAAAUGCAUCAUAUUCCACCAAUUAGUUUCUUCUCCAUUCCAAAUGCUCAACUCUUCACCUCACCAUAUUUAAUUAAAUGCAUUAUAUUCCACCAAUUAGUGAGCUUUGUAACUCCAAUCCACUCCCCUCCACCAUUAAUCCCCCACCAUUUUUUUUUUUUUGCAUGACAUGUUAUUUUCCAUGCAAAAAAGAAUAUUAUCAUCUAAUCUCUCACCCCACACUCAUCCAUGCAAAAAAGAAUAUUAUCAUCUAAUCUCUCACCCCACACUCAUUUCCUUCUCUCUAUCUCAUUAUGUUAACAAAAAUUAUGAGGAUGAUGAAGAAGAAGAGCAUGCGAAGAACGUUGUCUCCUUCAAGAAGUAUCGUCCUGUAAAGUCCAGUCGUGGCCCAUAUAAGUGCUCGCUGGGCCGGUCUGCGCCGGAGCCCUCACUCGCCGUGAACCGCCACCGCCUCGGCUGCCUCCUCGCGUGGCUCGCGCGCGCCCACAACUGGGCCGAGGGGAGCGGUGUCCUAGCCUCCUCUUUGCGGGCACGUUGCGCGGGAGCUCCUCAAGAAUCGCAGGAGGUAAAUCAAAUUGUUUAAGAAUUAGAAUUUCUGUGUUUGAUGUGAUGGCAAGACUGUAUCGGUUUAGAUAUCGCAGUUUGGUGAUGCAGAUGAUGUGUUUGUUCAUAGGUUACAAUGGAAAUCCAGAAGUGACUCGACGCGGGAAACAACUACUAGCUGAAGAUUAAGAAGAUGUAUGAGAUUUGGAUGAGUAAAAGAAGUGCUCCAAAAAAGUAUUAGUUUUUUUAAGAUUGAUGUUUUUUGUUUUAUUUUUCAUUUUAUGACUUUUUUUGAGUAGACACCAUUGUGGGCAAAAUUUCUUUCGUAAAUUAAAAAGUAUGAUGUGGAGACUGGAGCCUGAAACCCCACCCAAAAUUUUCUUAAGCCAGAUACAUUAAGUUAUUAUUUAUGUAUUUCAUAUGCUUCUAGCUAUAAUUUUAUUUUUUUAAUAAUUAAAUUUAGCCAUGCAAAUUAACUGUGCUUAACAUGGUAUAGCUUUCUAUAAGCUGUAAAUAUAAAUUUUAUUAAAAUUUUAAAAAAUUGUUUCUAUUAUCUACUCACUGCAUCGCACGGGUCUCUACACUAGUUAUGGAUGACAACGGGAAAGGGUAACCUCUAUCCUCGUGGGUUUUUAGAAUCUCCAUCCAAUCAUAGUUUGAAGACGAGAAUACCGACGAAUCAAUAAACUAGUUUGCUAUAGAUAAGCAGAUACAUCCAAUAUGAUCAUAGUCACAAUUUACUAUGUGAAACAUGCAAGUGCAGCGCACUAGUGUUUUAUUUUUAUUAUUAUUUUUUUUUUUUUUUUGAGAAAUAUGUGUGAUAUUACUAUCCGGCUUUUGAUUAUUUCAUUUGAAAGUAAACUUAAACCUCGAGUAUCAGCCACCAAGCCUUUUAUUGACCACUUGCGCUAAGACGGUCAGUAAUAAUUUCCUACAUUAUAUAAUAUAUAUAUAUUAUAUAUAUAAUAUAUAUAAUAUAUAUAGAGAGAGAGAGAGAGAGAGAGAGAGAGAGAGAGAGGAGAGAGAGAGAGAGAGACCUCCUAAUACUUUUCGAAAGUACGGAGGGUCCAUAUUUGUAAGUUGUUUUUGAUGAUGGAUAUCCAAUUCGGCGAUUAGUUCUAUUAGACAUAAUCUACACUAUUAGAACAAUUAAAAUUCAAAUUUUAUAAUUUUUGACUUUAUUUCUCUAGUGACACAAGUAGUCUAAAAUGAACAGCUAAAAUAAAAAUUUUAUAAAAAUAAUAACAAAAAUUCAAAAUUAAAAUCAGAGUAUUGACCUUGUUAUUAUAUUAAGUAAUUUUUUUUAUUAAAAAUUUCAUGUAAUUUAGAUGUUUCGACACUGUGAACUUAAAAGCGUGCUACAUUGACCGUUAAAACAAUCAUUUUUUAGACUUUUUGAUCACUUGAUAAAUGAUGUCGAAAAAUUAUGAAGUUUGAUUUCUAAAUAGUUCAAUAGCGUAGAUUAUGUCUAAUGGACUGAUCGUUAAAUCGAAUGUCUUAUUUAUUUAAAACAACUUACAAAAAAAGAAGACCUCCGUACUUUCAAAAGCACAUGAAACGUACUAUAAUAUAUAUAUAAUAUAUAUAUAUAUAUUUGGAUAAAAAUAUAGAAAACUUAUAUCAACUAUACUCAUUUUGACCUGACUAUCUAACCAUUAAAAAUUAUGGAUUUUGAAUCCUUUCAGUCACUAAGUAUAAUAUACAAAAAAUCGCAAAAUUAUUUUUCUAAAAACUUCAAAUACGCUAGAUCAAGUCUAACGGAGCCGAUCGUCGAUUCGAAAUUCUAUCAUCGAAAACGGCUCAGGAGCACGGGGCCUCCGUGCUCCUGUAAGCACAGCAGUCCUAUAUAUAUAUAUAUAAUAUACUAUAUAUAUAUAUAUAUAAUAUAUAUUAUUGAGAAUAGUAUAUACUAUUCCGCUUUUGAUUAUUUCAUUUGAAAGUAAACUUAAUACCUCGAGUAUCAGCCACCAAGCUUUUAUUGACCACUUGCGCUAAAGCGACGGUCAGUAAUAAUUUGCUACAUUAUAUAUAAUAUAUAUAUAUAUAUAUAUAUAAUAUACUAUAUAUAGAGAGAGAGAGAGAGAGAGAGAGAGAGAGAAUGAGGAGAGAGAGAGAGAGAGAGACUCCUAUACUUUCGAAGUACGGAGGGUCCAUAUUUGUAAGUUGUUUUUGAUGAUGGAUAUCAAUUCGGCGAUUAGUUCUAUUAGACAUAAUCUACACUAUUAGAACAAUUAAAAUUCAAAUUUUAUAAUUUUUGACUUUAUUUCUCUCUAGUGAACAAAGUAGUCUAAAAUGAACAGCUAAAAUAAAAAUUUUAUAAAAAUAAUAACAAAAAUUCAAAAUUAAAAUCAGAAGUAUUGACCUUGUUAUUGAUAUUAAGUAAAAUUUUUUAUUAAAAAUUUCAUGUAAUUUAGAUUGUUCGACACUGUGAACUUAAAAGCGUGCUACAUUGACCGUUAAAACAAUCAUUUUUUAGACUUUUUGAUCACUUGAUAAAUGAUCGAUCGAAAAAUUAUGAAGUUUGAUUUCUAAAUAGUUCCAAUAGCGUAAGAUUAUGUCUAAUGGACUGAUCGUUAAAUCGAAUGUCUUAUUUAUUUAAAACAACUUACAAAAAAAGGAAGACCUCCGUACUUUCAAAAGCAUCAUGAAACGUACUAUAAUAUAUAUAUAUAUAUAAUAUAUAUAUUGGAUAAAAAUAUAGAAAACUUAUAUCAAACAUACUCAUUUUGACCUGACCUAUCUACCAUUAAAAAUUAUGGAUUUUGAAUCCUUUCAGUCACUAAGUAAAUAAUAUCAAAAAAUCGCAAAAAUUAUUUUUCUAAAAACUUCAAAUACGCUAGAUCAAGUCUAACGGAGCCGAUCGUCGAUUCGAAAAUUCUAUCAUCGAAAACGGCUCAGGAGCAGGAGGCCUCCGUGCUCCUGUAAGCACAGCAGUCCUAUAUAAAUAUAUAUAAUAUACUAUAUAUAUAUAUAUAAUAUAUAAUAUAUAUAUAUUAUAUGAGUCCGGCUACUAUACUAUUGAUAGUAUCAAGCCCUUGGUACUAUUGAGUUUUUGGCCGUUAGAUCUAUCCUUUGAUCAUUCUAUCUGUUAGAUUAUGCUACUAAACCAACCACCCCACUCAACCUAGGUGGCCACUAUAAUUUACCGGGACCACUAUCAUCCUAACCGCACAUCCUUCAUCCAACGGCCAAAAACUCAAUAGUACUAAGAGCUUGGUACUAUAUAGAGUCCGGCUACUAUACUUUUAUGAGUAUGGCUCUCCUUAUACUCAUAAGUUUUCGGCCUUAGAUUUAUUCCAAUGAUCAUUUUCACCCUUAGAUCAUACUAUUAAACCAACUACCCACUAACCCUAAGUAAACCACUAUCAUUCUAAUUAGGAACACCAUCAAUCCUAACCACCACAUCUCAUCAAUCACGUUAAAAAUUUAUGAGUACAAGGGUUAUAUACUCAUAAGAGUAUAAUAGCCCUAGCAUAAAUAUAUAUAUAUUAUACUAUAUAUAUAAUAUAUAUAUAUAUAAUAUAUAUAUAUAUAUAUUAUAUAUAUAUAUAUAGUAGGUCUUUGGUGCUAUUAGGAGCACGGAGGCCUCCGUGCUCCUAAGCCUGUUUCGAUGAUGGAACUUUCGAAAUACGACAUCGGGCUCCGCUAGACUUGAUGCUAGCAUAUUUGAAGUAUGCUAGGAAAUAAUUUUUUGUGAUUUUUUCGAUAAUCAUCUUACCUAACAAUCGAUAAGGUUCAAAAUAUCAGACGGCUGAAAAUUAAAAAUCUCAUAAAAAGUGCUGAUAUAGCAUUAAAAUUUGGAUCAAAGAUAUUGAUUCUGCUGUGUAAAUAUAUAAAAGUAAUUUUCUAUCAAAAUUUCAUAUGAUUUUUUUUUGAAUAUUCUACACGUUAACACUGCAAAACGAAUAUACAUCAACUAAUUAAAAAUUAUUGAUUUUGACUACUUUCGAUCGCUAGGUAAAUGAUCCGAAAAAUCACAAAAAUAUUUUUGAAGAUAGUUUCAAAUACGUAGUUCAAGUUUAACGGAGCCGGAUGCGUGCGAUUCGGAAGCUCCAUCAUCGAAAACGGCUUAAGAGCACGAAGUCCUCCGUCCUAAUAGCACACAAGACCUACUAUAUAUAUAUAUAUAUAUAUAUACAUGCUAGGGCUACUAUACUCUUAUGAGUAUUGAAAUCUUCGUACUUAUAAGUUGUUUUCAAUGAUGAAGCUUCCGAAUCGACGAUCCACUCCGUUAAAAAUGAUCUAGAGUAUUUGAGACUUCUAGAAAAUAAAUUUCGUAAAUUUUCAAAAUCAUAAUAAAGUCCAUCAAGCGGGUAUAAAAUGAACGGUUAAAAUCGAACGAUGUCCUAAAAAUGCAUGAUCGGAUCCUUUAAUUUAAGAUCGGAGUUAUUGAUCUUUAUCUAGUAGUGAAUAGAAUUUUCUAUCAAAAUUCAACCAAUUCCGAUUAUUUUACACCGUUAAAAUAGCAAGUAUUCCAUACCGACCGUUAAAAAUUGUCAAUUUUAUGACCUUUUGAUCGUAAGGUAAAUGAUGUCAAAAAAUUAUAAAAUUUGAUUUCUAAAAAUUUUAAAUGCUGUAGAUAACAUUUAACGGUAUGGAUCGUUGAUUCGGAAGUUCUAUCAUCGAAAACGACUCAUGAGUACGAAGACGAUCGUACUCAUAAGAGUAUAGUAGCCGGACUCUAUAUAUAUAUAUAUGUACACUACUCAAAGAAGCUGAAAUAGUCACGGGGCCCCAAGAAUCAAAUUAAAGCAGUAAUUAAAGAUUCAAAAUUAACAAAAAAAAAAGAAAAGAAAAAUUAAAAAAAGAGAGAGAGAGAGAAAUUUAGAGAUGAAUUGGGUCAUGUGGUGGGUCGGAGUCGGGCUCAGAGAAUCCCACUUAAAUCCAACCGCUCCGAGACAAAACCAAGUCCAAAAAACACACAGCGGGCACAGUAAUAAGCGAGGAGGUGGUACAUACAUGCAUAGCCCAUCGUCUGCAUCUGAACACUCCCUCACCAGGGAUAUAUUAUUGCACGGACCAUGUUCCCUGCACCGGAGAGCGUCGACGUAAAUAAACCAACCGUUAGAUAUGAUCUAUAACUCCUGAAUGAUCAUUAAUUUGUGUAUUAGACUCGAUCGUCAUUAAUUAAUUCUCGUGUAUUAUCUAUAUAUAUAUAUAUAUAUCUUGGAACAUAUAUAGACUUUCUAAAUAUGUGUUCAAGCAAUAUAUAUAUAUAUAAUCUCGAUAUAUCGAUCUUCUAAUUAGCAGUAGCUUUAAACUUCUACUUCUACUUUCUAAGACAAUAAAAGUACCAGACUAACCACUUCGCGCGCUAACGGUGACAUGUUAUAUUAUAAUCUAUAUGACACUAUUACUAUAGAGUGUAGUACUAUUUGAAAAAUUUUUUAAGGUAAACUUCAAAUAUCACCCUAUGUGGUUUCGCACUUUCUUACUUUAGUACUAUGUAGUUUAAAUUGUAUUAAGUUAGUAUCCUGUGGUUUCAUUUUUUCUUUUCGUCAGCUCCUCCGUUAAUAUUUCGUUAAAUUAUAUACAAAAAACUUUAGGUACUCCAUCUAGAUUUAUCGAAUAUUCACUUUAAUAUCUUUUAAUUUUAAUUUUGUCUCUGAUUUAACAAAAAAAAAUAGUGAAAUGAAUAAUAAAAAGAGAAAAAUAAAAUCACAAGAUACUAAAUUGAUAUACUUUAUACUAUAGGGUACUAAGGUGAGAAAGUGUGAAACCACAGAAAUUGUAUAUAUUUGAAGUUUUUCCAAAAUCGUAUAUAUAGGGAAAUACUUUAGCUAUAUAUUACAAUCUUAUGUAUGAAACUCAGAAUUUUAUCCCUGCUUUCCAUAGAGAGUAGCUCAAAUUAAGUUAUCUUUUAUCAAACUCUCCACUAAUUAAUUAUAACAGCAGAGAUCAAAGCAAACCCUAAGAUCUCAUAAUUAACUGUUUAAUUAGUUUCGGAGACUCUGCAUGUGUCUGUACAUAAUAUACAUAGACUAUGGUACAUGCAAUAUAUAGUAUCUCCACAUGCACCAGGGAAGGUGAACACACACACACACACACACACACACACACGCAUACUUAAAUUAAUUUCUAAGAUUCUCACCCUCCACAUACGGCCGAAGCCCACCCCUGACACUGUUUGCCAGCUAAACCCUAGCUAGCUAGGGUUUCCCUUUGGAAGGGUGUGUGCUUUUAUUCCCCCUCUUUCUUUUUAACUUUUUAUUUUUUUUAAAUUUAAGUAAGAACACUGAGAAGGGGAACAGUGGUCAUCAUGGCUAGGGUUUUUGGUGGUGGGUCACUUUGCAUCUCUUGUUCUCAUGAGUUUGUGAAGUACUCAUUAGCUGUAGGGUUUUGGGCUUAUUUAUACCCUGUAGGGGAUGUUAUAAGAGUGGAGAACGAACGUAUGUGUGCUACUACUCCCUUCAUGUUUACUCCUCCCUCCUCUCUCUUUAUCCCUUUCCUUUAGAGAGAGAGAGAGAGAGAGAGAGAGAGAGAGAGAGAGAGAGAGAGAGAGGGGGAGGGAGAGUUGCAUGGUGGGUUUUACAGGAAGAAAGAAGAAGAAGGAGAAGGAGAGUAGGGUUUGAUAAGUGUUGGUGUGUGUAUACAUAUAAAGCAUGCAAAGCAUGGAACUGGUUAAGUAAUUAGUUAGGUUUAUGAAGGAAUUAUGUAGAGAGGUGCACUUGUUCUUGUGAUCAUGAUGAGUACUUUGUGGAGUACUCUUAUAUGUUAGAGGACUCUUAGGGGUUUGGUUUUGUAUAUGGUUCUCUAUUUGUUAUACCUUAUAAGGUUUCUAUUCCUUUUAUCUCUAUUGCAUGAGGCCAGGGUUUUAGAUGAAGAAGAAGAAGAAGAAGAAGAAGAUAAUGAUGAUGAUGAGAGUUUUAUGUUAGUGUUGGUGUAACUACAUACAUGGUGCAUAUAUGCAUGUUGUGGAGUGGAGUUAAAUAAGUGUGUUAGUUGAAGAUGGAGGAAAUGAAUUAAUGGAGGAGGGAAACAAUAGAGGUGAUCAAAAUGGGGAUGUGCCUGGCUCCCUGUAUGCCACCCUUGUAGCUACCAAUCUAAGCAUGUAGAUUGGCUACUAUGGUUGGCGUGCGAGGAGCCAAGCAUGUCCUUCUCUCUCUCUCUCUCUCUCUCUCUCUCUCAUGCAUUUUUUGUUUAUGUACUUGCAAGUGUGUGUUAAAGGGCUUGAACAAGCACAAAAGCUUAAGCUGAUAGGUAGAGAUUGAUACUUUGCUACUUACCUUUUUUUUUCUAUAUACUAGUGAAUUUUGUGUGUGUGUGUGUGUGUGUUAAAGGGGUCGAACAAACACAAAAGCUUAAGCUGGUAAGUAGAGAUUAAUACUUACGUACUUAAUUUUUUUCCUUUGUACUAAUGAAUCUUUUGUGUGUGUGUGUGUGUGUGUGUUAAGGGCUCGAGCAAACACAGAAGCUUAAACUGAUAGACGGAGAUCGAUACUUAAUUUUCAGAUUUUUCUGGGUUCAUAUGGGGGUAUUAUUCUUCCUCGGAGUGUUAAUUAAUCUCCAAUAAAUGGGUAAGUUUGAGUAUUUGAAGAUAUCUGAAUAUUAAAUUAAUAUGCCUUACCUUUGAGGUUAAUUCGUAGGUCAUUAUAUAACUUCAUGUUUUAGUUUUUUUUUUUUUUUUAAUUUCAUAUAUAAGGUUUGGUAGGCAAAUAUAUAUAGUGUUUAUAAUGAAGUUUUGGAUAACGAAUUAUUUAGUGCGUUUAGUGUUAUUACUUGUGUUCAAUUAUCAUAGAUCGAUGAAGCAUAUGAAAUAUGUUAAUAGCUAUGUGUAGAACCUUAAUUAGGUAUUUUUCCUUUGCAUAUCCUUAUUAGUUUCUUGUUCAAAACAUCAGUGUUUACAACUAAGAAAUAUUAACUAAUCUCAUAUUCUAUGAUAUGUUAAAUCACCCUAAAAUCAAUCGUAUUAUCCUAAAUAUUGAAGUUCUUUUUGGAUAUGAUAUCAUGAAGAUGUUGCAUUACUCUAGGGCUCUUGUUACAAAUAUUUGAGCUCUACAAAUUAAUGAAGCCGCAAUAAGCCAUGCAUAUAUAUAUGUUUCUAUUAAGUGCAGGUACAUAGUCAUGUCACUUCCGAGUGUAUUUUGGAAAUGAAAAAUUAAUGCGAGUGCAGGAUUAAUCAAAUUCUCCAUCAUCUACACGAAAGGGAUUAUUCAUUAUUCUACAAAAAGAUACGAGUUAGACGCAUGGGCUCAGAUGGAUUGUGGUCGAACGAGCUCGAUUUCGAUCAUACAUGUGUUUGAUGGGGUUUUAGAUUGAAAAACUGGGUUUAGAUAAGUGGUUCGAUGUUGGUUUGAUUCUGGUUCGCUUUGUGGCGACUUGUGAAGAAAAUGGUGAAUAUAUGAUUCUUUGAUGUAAUCAUAACGUUUUGUGUUUUGAUCUCUCAAAUGAGGAAAUUAAUUAAUGUCGAGGCUAUAAAUCAUAUUGUACGUGAUACUUGUGGGGAUUGGUAACAAUUUUAACUUUUAUUUGUGGAAUGCACACAUUUUCAUGUGCUAUUUUUAUUUGUGGAAUGCACACAUUUUCAUGUGCUAUAUAUGUUGGAUUUUACGUAGAAUAUUGUUAUAUCUACUAGUCCAACUACAUACGUACCUUCGCCUUUGUACUCAUAAAUUAUCUUCAUAUUUAUUAGUUGUUUUAAAAUGAUAGAUUUUUUAAAUCCGCG